This 68909-nucleotide long non-coding RNA is filed under the name Populus tremula. RNAcentral describes it as "long non-coding RNA (PTRE_LNC001303)". Lineage: Eukaryota; Viridiplantae; Streptophyta; Magnoliopsida; Malpighiales; Salicaceae. The record is from RNAcentral.
CUAAAGGUAGUGCUGUCAUAGUAACUACGCGUAUUGAGAUGGUUGCUCUUAGAAUGGCAACAGCUUUUGUCAAGCACAUGGGGAGAUUGUCUGAAGAAGAUUCUUGGCAGUUGUUUCAACAGCUUGCAUUCGGGAUGAGAAGGAAAGAGGAGCGGGCACGCCUGGAAGCCAUUGGAGUAUCAAUAGUGAAGAAGUGUGGUGGUGUUCCUUUAGCUAUAAAGGCACUAGGGAACCUAAUGCGGUUAAAAGAAAGUGAAGAUCAGUGGAUAGCUGUCAAAGAAAGUGAGAUUUGGGAUCUAAGAGAAGAAGCAAGGAGAUCUUACCUGCUUUGAGGUUGAGUUACACUAAUCUAUCACCACAUUUGAAGCAAUGCUUUGCGUAUUGCGCUAUAUUUCCAAAAGAUGAGGUGAUGAGGAGGGAGUUGCUGAUUGCUUUGUGGAUGGCAAAUGGCUUUAUUUCUUGCAGAAGAGAAAUGGAUUUGCACGUCAUGGGCAUUGAGAUAUUCAAUGAACUAGUGGGAAGGUCAUUUCUGCAAGAGGUCGAGGAUGAUGGAUUUGGCAACAUAACAUGUAAAAUGCAUGAUCUUAUGCAUGAUCUUGCACAAUCCAUUGCAGUACAAGAAUGCUAUGAGACAGAAGGCGAUGGGGAGUUGGAAAUUCCUAAACUGCCCGUCAUGUUGCUUUUUAUAACAAAUCAGUAGCUUCGUCUUCUAAAGUUCUCAAGGUCCUCAUCAUCUCAAGAUCCCAUCACUUCGCUCACUUCUUUUGAGGAAUGAACACUAUUGGUCUGGAUGGGUAAAGAUUCCUGGUCAAAAACAUCGAGCCUUGAGUUUAAGAAAUAUCGGAGCCAAGAAAUUGCCGCAGUCAAUUUGUGAUUUGAAACAUCUAAGGUAUCUACAUGUGUCAGGCCCCUGGAUCAAAACACUGCCUGAAAGUACAACCUCUCUCCAAAACCUCCAGACACUAGAUCUGAGAGAUUGCAGAGAACUCAUCCAAUUACCGAAAGGUAUGAAACAGAUGAAAAAUCUUGUCUAUCUUGACAUAAAUGAUUGUUAUUCACUUCGAUUUAUGCCUGCUGGAAUGGGGCAAUUGAUAUGCCUGCGAAAACUUAACCUGUUCAUUGUGGGCGAGGAGAAUGGUCGUGGCAUAAGUGAGCUGGAAGGGCUGAAUAAUCUUGCUGGUGAACUGAGAAUCGCAGAUCUUGUGAAUGUUAAGAAUUUAAAAGAUGCCAAAAGUGCCAAUUUGAAGUUGAAGACAACUCUUUUAUCACUGACUUUAUCUUGGAAUGGGAAUUGGAAUGGAACAAACAGUGUUAUUCAGGAAAAUGGCGAGGAGGUCCUUGAUGGGCUUCAACCUCCUUCAAAUCUGAAGAGGUUGAGGAUAUGGGGUUAUGGAGGUUCAAAAUUUUCAAAUUGGAUGAUGAACAUGACGCUACCAAAUCUGGUAGAGAUGGAGCUUUAUCAGCAUGUAACCACUGUGAACAACUUCCACCAUUGGGGAAACUGCAGUUGCUCAAGAGUCUUGUAUUGCGUCGAAUGGAUGGUGUGAAGAGUAUUGACAGCAAUGUGUAUGGAGAUGGGCACAAUCCAUUCCCAUCUUUGGAGACGCUGACUUUUCAGCACAUGGAGGGAUUAGAGCAAUGGGCUGCGUGUACAUUUCCUCGCCUUCGAGAAUUGAAGAUAUUUUAUUGCCUUGCGUUGAACGAAAUACCAAUUAUACCCUCCGUCAAAUCACUGCACAUCGAGGGAGUGAAUGCUUCGUUGCUGAUGUCAGUUAGGAAUCUCACUUCUAUCACCUCCCUUCAUAUAGAAGAUAAUCUAGAUGUGAGGGAGCUUCCCGAUGGGUUUUUGCAAAAUCAUACCCUCCUUGAAAGCUUAAAAAUUGUUAGCCUAACAGGUCUGGAGUCUUUGUCAAAUAGGGUAUUAGAUAACCUUUCUGCUCUUAAAAUUUUGAAUAUCAGGGGUUGCGGGAAACUUGAAAGCUUGCCAGAGGAAGGUCUUCGUAACCUCAAUUCCUUGGAGGUUUUAGACAUACAUGAUUGUGGAAGAUUAAAUUGUCUGCCAAUGAAUGGGCUGUGCGGCUUAUCUUCUCUUCGCGAGUUAUUUGUUAUACAAUGUGAUAAAUUCACAUCUCUAUCUGAGGAGGUGCGGCAUCUGACGGCACUUGAGAAUUUGAAGCUUAUUAAUUGUCUAGAGCUGAAUUCAUUACCAGAGAGUAUCCAACAUCUCACUUCUCUCCAAUCUCUAGUCAUUGGGGGUUGUCCAAAUUUAGAGAAAAGGUGUAAGAAAGAUUUAGGAGAGGACUGGCCUAAGAUAGCUCACAUCCCUUACAUUGAGUCGGGAAAUACAUAUGCAUUUGGAUUUUUCAAUUCUAAUUUCUUGUAAUUGUUUAAAUAACUUUAUCAAAUUCAUUAUUGUUAUAUUUUUCAUAUAAAUGUGUAAAAAUAAUUGAUUCAUGAUUUUAUUUUUGUUAAAACUUGUAUAUAUUUUUUAUUUUAAUCACUCGCACCCUAAAGCACGUAGAGCAUCAAUACAAACAAACUGGAAAAUUGAAAUCUAAUCAUUCGGAACAAUAAACAACUUAUUACAAAACAAUGGAGACCUCCACUAGAUAUAAUGACAUUUAGAGCCAACCAGUAUACGGAUAACUUCAUUUAAUAAAAAGUUCUGAAUAGGAAAUGAAAUUGUUUUAGGCUUAAUCUCUUAAAUAUUUUUAAAAAAUCUAUUUAUAAUUUUAUCUAAUACUCUGUAUUCACCUUAAAUACAAAAUGAAAUUUCUCAUAUUUUCGGGCUAAGGAGCCAGACAAGUUCUACCAAUAUAUAUGUCCAACAAGUUCUGGGGCAGAUAAUCCAAAAUUGAACCUAGCAGUGGAUUCGAAUUUGUUGAAAUUUAAGUGUGAUCAAGUGUUGGUUUGUGUGGCAGAAAAGGAUAAGCAUAAAGACAGAGGGGUGGUUGAAUCGCCGUCGUUAGGCAGCGGCUAGAUUUCUUUUCCUCCACUUUAUUUUUUCUCUCCUCCGCCCACCUAAAAAUUCAAAAAAAUCAUAAUUUUUUGUAUUAUUUCAAUUGUGGUUUUCGUUUUUUUUACUUUAAUUUUUAAUUUUUUUUAAUCUUAUUUAUUUUUAUGUCAGAUUUGAUUUAUUUUUAUUAAUAUUUAUUUUGUUUUUCACUUUUUUUAAUUGAUUUUCUUUUCAAAUUUCUUACCUAAUUUUUGUUUUUUUAAGAAAAUUGUCCCAAUUCUUUUCAUUAUAAUUUCUUUCGGUUUCAUUUAUCUUUUUAAUUGUUUUUUUUUUAUUUUAGUUUCACCACUCAUUGUUUGAUUUCAUUUGAUUCUCAUGCCAAAUUUAAUAUUUAUAUUUUUAUCAUUGCUUUUCAACUCAAUCUAAGAAUCAAUCCCGAGCAAGUUCUAGGUUAUGGAUCGAGUAAGAUGACCAAGAAUACCCAAGUAAACUUACCCUGAAAACAAUAUCCAACAGGUUUUUUUAAAAAAAACUCACAAAAAGAUUGUUCUUAAUAUUUUUAAUCAUGAGUUUUAAACCUGGCCUGGAAGUCGACUUCCAGGCAAGUCUUGGACCAAAGGUCGGGUGGAUAGGCCAGGGUUACCAAAACAACUAUUUUUUUAUUUUACAAAUAUGUAAAAAUGAUAUUAUUUUGGUCAAAAGUUUACAAAAAAAUCAAUAGGUUUUAAUAAAAUUUAACAAAAUAAAUUCAACAAUUUAAAAAAAAUACAAAGAAUUUCAUUAAAAAAUUGAAUUCUCAUUAUUUUAAUCAUUAUUUUUAAACCUAGCUCAAGGGUUGACCCCAAGUAGCUCCUGGUCACAAAUCAAGUAAGUUGUCCAAGGAUAUUUGGAUCAGCUGAUUUUUUAUUUUGCAAGAAUAUAAAAAUUACAUUGUUUUGAUAAAGAUUUAACAAAUAAAAUCAACAGUUUUUAUAAAAAAAAAUUAACAAAAAAAUUAUUCCUCAAUCCUUUGAUUUUGGUUUUUAAUUAUAUUUUUUUAUUUUAUCCCUUAACAUUUAAUUUAUUGAGGAUUUUGCUUCGUGAUUUUUUUGAAGUUUCCCUUUUAUAAUGUGGCGCCCACUUUAUAACCAAGAUUGUAAGUUUAAAUGUUAGUUUUAGUGGAUUUAUAUAUUUUUUAACAUUUUUAAAAUUUUAUUUUUUAAAAUUUGGUUGGUUAUGAACGAAGUUUUUUUUUUUUUAAGAUUAUCCCGAUCUUAUAUUCUAAGUUACGGAUUUAAUGGGUUGACCUGAUAUAUAUAUAUAUAUAUAUAUAUAUAUAUAUAUUUCAUGUUAAUUUUUUAUUAAUUUGGUUUAUCUACUAUUAUUAUUAUUUAUGUAAGUAUUAUUAGAUUAGCUUUAAUUAUUAAACUCGGUCGAUUUAAUACACUAAUUCUUUGAAAUUUUUUUAAAUCCUGAAUUUCACAUGAAAUUUUUUUUAUAUUCAGAAUAAAAAUAACUCGAUUGUAUACUAUUAUUACCAAAACUCUAAAACAUGUUGGAAUUCACCAGAACUUUAAAACAUGUUGGAAUUCAACUGUAUAUAUACUAUUGACCAAAAAACAAUAAGCUGUGUACUCGCACAAUUAAUUCUCGCGGCUUUUGAAAGCCAGUUUGCUUUUGGUGUAGGCUUAGAGAGGCUUGGAAGAGCAGGCCAUCAGCUUGGAAAUAGCUGAAGAAACAGGCUGAGAGACAAUGAGCUUGCACAGCUGAUUUUCGCGUCUUGGGAGCUGUGUUCAGCAGCGGCUUAGGCAUGGGGAUAAAAUAUAUGCAUGGCUAGUCAGUCUGCACCGUGUGGAGCCCAAGCGACUUGGGCAGCGCGGGACGAAGACUUUUACUAACCAAUAAGCAAAUUCAAGUAGACAAAUUUUGUCUUCAAAACACAGCCAUGUUGCUUCUCUGAAACUUCAAUUGCUGCAGUCCCUUUUCGGUAUUGCUGUAUCUUUUUCUUUUAAAUUUUUUUUAAAAAUUUCUUUUUACCUUUAAAAAAUAUUAUUAGAUAAUUUUAAUGUAUUAAUAUAAAAAAAAUAAAAUGAAUGCAGUUUUAAUCCUUUAAUAAAAUGGAUCCACCACAUUAUCAAUCACUAAUAAAAAAAGAGAUCGAUAGCAGAAGAAAAGCUCAUCACUAUGCUCCCUCUCCUUGUCCACUAUCAUGGUGGUGGCUUUUGCAUAGGCUCUCCAUUUACUUCUGCCUUGAAGAAUUUUCUUUCAACCCUAGCCACCCAAGCCAAUGUCAUCGCUAUAUCUAUUGACUACAGGUUAGCACCUGAACACCAAUUACCGAUUGCAUACGAUGAUUCAUGGGCAGGGCUUCUGUGGAUCGCGAAGCACUCUAAUAGUAAUGGACCCGAACCAUGGAUUAAUGAAUAUGCGGAUCUCGGGCGGGUUAUUUUAGCCGGUGAGAGUGCUGGAGGCACCAUAGCCCAUCAUGUGGCGGUCCAAGCUGCGGGAUUGGCUGCCGUGGCUAUAGAAAGGUUAAUAAUAGUGCACCCAUAUUUUUGGGCUAAGGAGCCAGACAAGUUCUACCAAUAUAUAUGUAUCCAAAAUUGAACCCGGCAGUGGAUCCGAAUUUUUCGAAAUUUAAGUGUGAUAAAGUGUUAGUUUGCGUGGCAGAAAAGGAUAACCAUAGAGUUAUGAAGCUAUGAGCGAGUGUGGAUGGGGUGGUACUGUGAAUUUUUAUGAAACUAAAGGGGAGGACCAUUGAUUUUAUUUGCUGAAUCCCAAGAGUGAGAAUAUCGAGCCCCUGAUGAAAAAAAUGGUUGAUUUCAUACGGCUGGAUUGAUUUUUGGAGUUUUAUUAAGUGGGAAUCAACAACUUAAUUUUCAGCAAUGGUGAGAGCAGAAAAAUAAUGGUUGAAUUUAAGGUUGUUUUGUUGUUUGGAUUGUAUUUGUUUUUCAAAUUUUUAAUAUAUGCACUUUCAAAUGCCAUAUAAAAUGUGGCAUUAUGUUUAUUGCAUUCUUUUGGUCUAUUUUGGCUUGGCAGCACUUUUGUUUUUUAAAUAUUAGUGAAAUAAUACAAAAUAAAAUUUUUUUGGUGAAACAAUACAAUUUAUAUAUGUCAAUGAAUGGAAAAUGCAAUAUAACACAUUUUAUACAUGUCAUGAUUGAAAAAUACUAUAUUUAUAAUUUGUCACUAUUCGAAAUAUCAACUUAUGCAAAAAAAAAAAAAUUAUGAAAAGAACAAGAGAUAUGAGAGAGAAAGGAAUCAAAAAAGAAAAAGAUAACUUCUAAAAAAAAUAUCAUCAACAAUGACUCAAGUGAGUGACACUUGUCGUCUAAAGAUGACAGGUGACUCAUUUAUUUUUGAUGGCAAUUGUGGUCCACUUGGGUUGCCGUCGUUGGUCUUCUUUGUUGUCAUUGUAUUUGUCUCGUCAAAAUUAUUUUUUGUUGUUGUAGAAGUUGUUAUUCUGAAUAGCAAUAAGCUAUAAAUAUCGUGUUUUCUAAUUGCGACAUGUACAAACUAUGAUAUUUCACUAAUUAUUUUUAAUAAUAUAUGUUAUUCUACCAAUAUUCUUAAUUUAAUGUGCUAAUGUUUUCUUUUAAAUCAUUCAUUUGCUUCCCUGAUUUCCUCAUUUUAGGUGCAAACAAAGUAAAAUAUCAUAAAGUAAGUAUUUCAUGCUUAUAUUUAGUCAACUAAUUUGGUUUAAUUAAAAAAUACCUUGUAAAAAGCCAAUUUUUUAAUAAAGAACAACAAUAAAAAAAACCCUAAAAUAACCCAAGUUAUUUUCUAAAUUAAUGAGAAAUCUUGUAGAAAAAUAAAAUAAAAAUGUAACGAAGUUCAAUAUUUAGUUAAAUAAAUGCUGAAGCAUAAAAUUAAAAAAAACAAAAACACGAGUUCAAAAAAAGGGAAAAAAGAGUGCAAGCAAACUCAGAAAAAUCUUCUAAACCUGAAUUAAUUUUCAAAUUCACAAGUCAUAAAAUUCUAGACCCGAACUCAAUAUCAAAGCUUAAUCCUCAAUUAAUUUAAUAUUAAAUAAUGUAAUAAAAAAUAUCAAUUUUUAAAAUUCUAUUAAGAAAAAAUAGCAAAUAAAAAAAUGAGAAUCAAAUUUGAUAGAAAACAAUUAUUGAGGAUCAAAUCAUAAUAAAAAUUAAAAAUUAAAAAUUAUCUCAAAUAAAGCAGAUAGCAAUCAAAAGAUUAUGGAUCAAAUAUGGCAUAUGAAAAUAUGAGGAUUAAAUUGAAAAACAAGUUUUAAUUUUAUAAAUAAUUUCAAAUAAAACAAAUAACAAUUAAAAAAAUAGAAAUUAUAUCUAAAAAAACAAAUUAAAGAGUCGCUAUAGAAAAUUAGAGAAUCACACUUGAAAAUUAAAAAGACAAAAAGAAAAUAAUAAUAAUUGUCACACCCCAAAAAAAAUCCUUCCGGCGCGCGGCAUCGGCUGGCGAUUUUUUUAUCGUUUUGUUGUGUUAGCUUUGAAUUCGUUUGUGGGAGUCGCCACCUAGUAAUUCAUUGAGGGCUACUAGGAAACCUGAUGUACUGGUCUUGUCAGAGAUCGCGGGUAAGGGACUGGUUGUGGUUAGGGAAGGUAUUAGCACCCCUAACACACCCUACCUGAGGUAAGCUGCUUUGUGUUCUGAUGUGAUUUGAAAAUUUAAAAUAUUAAUUAAAUUCUAAGGCUUGAAUAAAUAAGUUAUUAAAUCCCCGAAUAUAUGUAGAAACUUGUUCUUACAUUUUCAUGGAAAAUACAACUUGAUUUUAUUUGUCCUUAAGAUAUUUAACCAUAUUUAAAUUAACAAUUAAAUCUUUUUGUCUUUUUUAGAUUUUUAUAAUUCAAUAACAUAAAAUAAAAAUACAAACACACACAACUUUCUUUUUAUCAUUUAUUUAUUUUCUUUUCUUUUUUCUCUUUUUUUUUUCUUUUACAACACAAUACAAAUACAAAUACAAAUAAAAAAUCAAAAUCAAAACAAAUAAAUAAAAAUUACAUUAAUUAAUUCAAAAUUUACACAAUAGUCCCUAAAACUCCAAAAAUUGCAGGGAAGGACUUCUGGGGACUGCGUGAACAGUGGCGGCGCGUGGGUCCACGCGCCGCCGUGAGAAAGAAGCUGGAAACGGUGCGAUCUGUCUCAGCCUCUUCUCCCCCUCGUUUCCUCACCGGCGGUGAGAACAACGUCACCUGCAAAACACCAAGAAACGCAAACAGCAAUGUUCCCGGAUCUGUUUCCUUUUUAGAUCUAUUCUCCUAUCUUUUCUGUUUUCAUUUCGUUGUUCUCUCCUUCUCCAGGUGAUAGAUCCGGUGGUUGUGGAGGAGUGCUGGAGACCGGAGGCGGACAGAUCGGAGAUCCGUGGGCGCCGCUGUUUCGGGCUGCUAUUGGAGGUUCCGAUCCGGUUGAGGAGCUGCGAAGAACAAAGGGAGCAGCUGAGAGGAAGGAACUGUGGAGGAGGAGCUGCUGCCGUUGGAGGACGCCGCUGAUGGUCUGGAGGAAGAGAAGACGACGGACAUAUAUGGGUCCGUGAGCACCGCUGUGUUCGGGCUGAAGAGAUCGCCGGCGAAGAAGACGCUGCUGAGGGGGAAAGCUUCGGGUUGAUGGAGAUGAACAGGAACGGCUGAGAGGGGGAUAAGGAAGUUGUCUUGGCCGGCUGGUUUGGGUCCGGUGAGGGAGAAGAAUGGGAAGAAAAACAAAUGAUCUGGGGCUGUUUUUUUUUUUGGGGCUGUUUGGCUGGGGUAAAAAAACCAAAGGGUGGGGGGCUGCUGGCUUGAGAAAGAAAGGGAGAAGAUAUCUUGGCCGGCGGCUGGGAAAAAUUAAAACCAGAGGGGGGGAAAAGAUGGUGGAACCGGCUGAAGAAAAAAACCAAAAAAUGUGGGGGGCGGCUGCUCUUCAAAAAAAAAAAAGAUUAGGUUUAGGUUUUUUGUAUUUUUUUUAGUGUUUCCAAAAUUAUCCCCCCCUUUUGCAAGUGUUGGACACCAGUAUUUAUAGGCAAAACAUAUUGACAAGUUUUCAACAUUGGUCCCUUAACUUUCUUUUUUUGUAAAAUUUAAUUUUUCUUGUUUUUUUGUAUUUUUUGAAAACGAGCAAUAUCAACGUUGACUCAAAUGCAGAAAAUCAAUGAUUUUAAAAAUGACGCGUGAAAAGUCGAACGCGUUCGAAAGACCCUUAAAAAUUUAAAUUCUUUUUUUAGACGACGUUGAAAAUGCUAAAAUGACGAAAAUAUAUUAAAAAACAUAUUUUUUGGAUUUUCUUUGUUUUUCUCUAUUUUUGGAUUUUUUUAAAAAAUAUAUCAAAAACAUGGGUCAAAAAUUGGGUAGCAACAGAUGCCCCCUCUUUACAAUGCUUACGAAGCAAAAAUCCUCGAUGUUUUGCAUAGUAAGCUUUGUAAAGAAAAACUUAUCUUUUUGUUUGCUCAAUAUCCACUUCAUCAGCAAUCUUCCCUUCUUUUUUUUAUCCUGAGAUCCCAUCUGACGACCUCCUUUAAUCAAAACCAAAGAAUGUGUGUAGCUCGGUCAACCCGAAACCCCAAUGGAGAUUCCCUUUAACCAAAGCUACAUGAGAUCCCAUCUGGCGACCUCAUUCAACUGGAACAAAAAUAUUGUGUAACUCGGUUAACCUGAAAUCCCAUCUGGCGAUUCCCUUUAACCAAAGCUACCCGAGAUCCCAUCUGGCGACCUCAUUUAACCAAAACAAAAGAAUGUGUGAAAAAUGGUCUCAUUGUAUGGGUGACGAACCCCAGAAAAAUGAUGGUCUCAUUGUAUGGGUGACGAACCCCAGAAAAAUGAUGGUCUCAUUGUAUGGGUGACGAACCCCAAUGGAAAGGAGGAAGAGCGGUCUCAUUCUUUGGGUGACCUACCCAGGGGGGAGAAUGGCCUCAUUCUUAUGGGUGACCUACCCAGGUAAAAAAAAAAGAUGGAGAAUGGUCUCAUUCUAAUGGGUGACCUACCCAGAUAAACAAAAAAUGGAGAAUGGUCUCAUUCUUAUGGGUGACCUACCCAGAAAAAAUGGUGGUCUCAUUGUGAUGGGUGACCUACCCAAGUGGAAAAAGGAAGAGUGGUCUCAUUCUUUGGGUGACCUACCCAGGGGGAGGAAUGGCCUCAUUCUUAUGGGUGACCUACCCAGGUAAAAAAAAGAUGGAGAAUGGUCUCAUUCUAAUGGGUGACCUUCCCAGAGAAGAUGGUGGUCUCAUUGUGAUGGGUGACCUACCCAAGAUGGAAAAAAAAUGUGAAGUGUGGUCUCAUUGUAAUGGGUGACCUACCCAGAUGGAAAAAAUAUGAUGAAGUGGUCUCGUUGUGAUGGGCGACCUACCCAAUAGAAAGAAAUGAAGUGGUCUCAUUGUAAUGGGUGACCUACCCAGAUGGAAAAAAUAUGAAGUGUGGUCUCAUUGUAAUGGGUGACCUACCCAGAUGGAAAAAAUAUAAUGAAGUGGUCUCGUUGUGAUGGGCGACCUACCCAAAUAGAAAGAAUGUGAAAAACGGUCUCAUUGUAAUGGGUGACCUACUCAGAUGGAAAAAAUGUGAAGUGUGGUCUCAUUGUAAUGGGUGACCUACCCAGAUGGAAAAAAUAUGAUGAAGUGGUCUCGUUGUGAUGGGCGACCUACCCAAAUAGAAAGAAUGUGAAAAACGGUCUCAUUGUAAUGGGUGACCUACCCAGAUGGAAAAAAUAUGAAGAACGGUCUUAUUAUGAUGGGCGACCUACCCAGAUGGAAAAAAUGUGAUAUGACAAGUGUGAAAAAUAGGACUUACCUGGCGAAGUCAUGAGGGGAUGACAGAAGAAGGGCUGGAAAACUUGGUGCUUCCUGAUAAUUCCCGAUCAUAGGGUUUGAAAACUCGGUGUUUCCUGACUGCAAGGGUUGAAAACUCGAGGCUUCCCGAUUGCAAGGUUGAUCUUUCAUUUCUUUGGGAUUUUCCUAAUGGUAGGGUUCAUCCCAUCGUCCUUUUAUUCCAUGAUCAAAACCGAUUCUUUAUUAUCAUCACCACAAUGCUUCUUUCUUUUUCCACCAUCUUGCUGGACCUCAUUAAGGAUUUUCCUGUAACAAUUCAAAAAUAUGUGCAAAUGGUUUUUUUUUUUUUUUUUUUUGAGGUUAGAUGAUAUGCAUGCAUCCUUACCUGAUUUGAAAUAUAGGUCCCCCCCUCUUUGAUGCUCCAUCGUCAUAGGGUGCCCUUGUUUGUAUCCCAAAGCUUUCUUUGUUCUUCCGAUGCAUUGGCUCAUUCAUGUGUUAGCCAUCCACUCAGCUGUAAAUGCAGUGCCCAUCCCGGGCUGUCUUCGACAAUUACUGCUUGCAUCGUUCAUCAAGCUUGACCCUGCCCCCAAGUGUGGUAUGCUUGAUUCAUCAUGAAGAUUUUCUCUCUGGAUUCUUCUGAGAAUUAUCCUUGAUUGAUUGUGUGCAUCAUGCCAACACCCAUCAAGAUUGUUAAUCAGUCAUGAACUUGCCUUCGGUUGAAACACCAUUCAAGUAUGUAUGGUCACCAGCCUUCAUGGAACUGCCAAGUCAUCCAGACAUGAUCUCAUGCUUUGCAGUAAACAGCUCAUCAUUGUAAGCGCGAUGUAUUUCUCUAUGGAUUCCUCUUAGCUUGUCAAAUCAGAUCGUGAAAAUAACUGCUUUGGCAUCAUCAAUGAUGUUCAUGUUAUCACCCAUAUUCAUGCGGUGAAGUGCGCAUUUGAGCUUCAAAUAGAUGGUCCCAGUCAAUCUUGGUGGUAUGCAUAUGUUCGAUUCAUCAAAUGCACUCACCCGAUAACAUCUGUCAGGAUAACCAUGUUUUAAGUAACCAAGAUGAAGAUAUGAAAAUAUCUUCUAGUGCAGCGUUGCUCAUCAAUUGCUGCUGAAGUGCACUAGAUCAUGGAUUGUCUUUGAACAACAUUGCCCCAAUAUGAUCUGAAGCUCGUUCAUCGUUUAUACUCAAAUGGUUUUCUUUGUCAUUGUCAAUGCUAAACAUAACUUUGGACUUUGAUGACUCAUCAUCUGAUUCUUUCUUUGCCCCCAGCUGAUCUGGAAUUGUUUGUUUUCUUCUAAGGUCCACUGUAUUGCCCCCAGGUGGUCAACGUUUCAAGGAGUGUCGAGAAAUGUUGAUGUCAUUUUUGUCAAGGAUUUUGCAAACUCAAUUGAUGUUCUUGUUUGAAAAUCUUUCUUGUUCUGGAAUCAAAUCUCACAUUUCAACGAUCAUGUCUAUUCAAGUCUAAUUGUUGAAAUGAAAUCAGAGAGAUGUCUGUUUGAAAUUAUUUUUUUUUUUGAAAUUCAAACUUCUUUGGUCAAAGACCCAACACACUAUUCAAUGCAGUCCUUUGAUUGUCUUGUAUUUUGAAAACAGAAAUGACCCGUUGUAAGAUUUAAAAUGACUUUUUCAUGGUUCUUUGUGUCCACUUUAAACUCUGAUUUUGGGUAUAUCUUUUGAUGGUCUGUGAUGAGGUGACAUUUUUAUGAAUUUCAAAACAAGAUGCUCAGGCUUUAUCAAGAAAGGUUGUUUCUUUUCUUAGCAUUUAUUUUAUCAGCAUGCAUAAUAACCAGUAGCUUAAUUCAUGAAGUCACGACCCUUAUGGAAAAACUCUUCAAGUUUUGAGAGCGCCAUUUAUCGUUCAAAUUGCUUGCUUGAUUAAAAAGGGCUUUUAAAAGCACGUAAUGCAGGCUAUGGUUCAUGGCUAUGAAAGAAAGAAUUUCAAAGGCUCAAAAGGUGUUUGAGGGUUUCAACGACCUAGGAUCAACAUUAUUCAUCGAUUCUCUUUCUCUUGUGUCAUUGUAGAAAAGUGACAUAUAACCUUGUUAAUCUCAAAUAUCAGAAUUCUCUUAACAUAGGUAAUAAUCCAACUUUUCUUUGAUGAAUAACCAAUCUAACAAUUUGAAGACAUUAGAGGCUUUAUCCUAGACACACCAAAAGAUAUGAAGCAUCGAUUUUUCUAGUGUUGACUUUUGGCAUUUAUUGUCUUUUCUCAAUUGAAAACUGUCUUGCCUCUCUUAGAAUUGUAGGCAUUUUCUUUCAUUUCCUCAAAGUUUUUCUUGGAUGGCCCUCAAUCUAUGGAUUUUCUUCUUCUAGCCCUUUCUCAAACAUUGGACUUUUGUUCUAAGCUUUUCUUUGAUCCAUUGAUUUUAUCGUGUCUCCAAAAUAUUUCUCAUUUGCCCCCAGUGUGGGGUGUGAUCCUAGUCAGGGUUUUUAUGAAAAAAUAUUCAUCCAGCUCAAAAUGGGACUACAAGGGAGAUAAUUUUUAGAAAGUGAAGGAUAUCAAAGAUGGCCUUUUCUCAUUUCAAGCAAGGUCGGUUAGAACCGAUAAAUUUUGACCUCAUCUAGUGUAAUGAUUUGGACUUGUAAGAGUCAUGAUUCACGAGUCCAUAACUACCGAAUCCACUACAUGUCAUUAUGCAUACUGCUAAAACUUAGCUAUAUGAUGUGUGGUUCAGUUUAAAGUAUGAGUUCAAAAUUGUUUGGUCACCUCAUGUCAUUUCAACAAGAAUCGAGUCAUUUCUGCAAUCAAAACACUUUUAAUCUUCAGGAUUGAUUAACCUUUAUCGCAUGUUGGAGUUUGAUCAAAAUAUUUUGUCAAAAAAAUGUUAAACAUCUGUUGAUUUCAAAACAACAAAGAGACAAAAGCAAGGCAUGUUUCGUUGAAGGAUGAGAUGUGAUCCCAAAACAAAAUGCAAAUUCCAAAAAAUAUGAUUGACUGUUCAACUCUUGAAUCAGCUUUUCUGGCAAUAUUUGCGUUUUGCCAAGCACUUUCGAUCAACAUGUCAUUCUGAAGAUGUUCGGGGGACAAUAUAGCCAAUGACACCCUCCUUCACCGACUCCACUUGUCUCUUGCUCACCAACUUUCAGACUCAAUUCUUGCAAUUCUUGAAACUGUUCACUUGAAAUGGUUGAGGACCCCACCAUGACAUCACAUCUCUUAUCUGGAUUAUACCACCUAGAAAUUGGUGGUUGCAUGGGAUUUGUCGGAGUCAAGCAAAAUUCUGGAAUCUGGCAGAUGCUGGUCGACAAACUUAAAGUGGCAGAGGAAUGUCCCAUCUUGGCAAAGACAUUUGAGCAAUUGAUGCUACCGUGAGACCUGGCUAUACCACAUAAUUAAGGGCUCACACCGUCAAAGUCAUCUCCUGAUUCACCUCUCAUCAUUGUUCUAGAAUCCAUGGCAGAUCCUUCAAUCUUUCUUCUCUUCAUAGCUUGUUCAAUUCUUCGGCAAAUCCUCACAACAUUAUUUCAAUCUUCCAAUGUUGCUUGGUUGGUUGAGGAUUGUUAGAAAACUUUCAACAGCUUGGUAAUCUUGGCAGGCCCAGAAACUUGUAGUAUCGCCACUACCGACGUGUGGAAUCACACAUCUCUUAUUGGAAGAAAAUGAUGAACAUGAAUCUCUCUUUGUUCUUCGAUUUCUCUGACAGUGCAGCAAACAAACACCUAUAGAGGAAGUCCUGCUCUGUUGAAGUUUCAGUAUUCUUCAUGUUUUUCAGUCUAGGCAUGUCUCUUCUCUCUACUUUUGCGUUUUAAUACUGACACUGUUGGAGGAAAAUCAUAGAUGAUCUGAAACUACUGUAUUCCUUCUUGGAUUUCCCACUUGCGGAUCCACAAACAGAUUCCUGCUGAGAGAGCUCUGCUACGUUGAAGUUUGAUGUCUGCUCAUAUUUUUCAGACCAGGUCUGGCUCUUCAACCUACUAAAGGUCUUCGUGCUGAAACUGAUGAGAGAAAUAUUUGUAGCAUAUGCAACUUAUAAAUCCCCUCUUGCAUUCCCAAUUUGCAGAGCCAUAAAUGGAUUUUUGUAGAGAGAGCUCUGCCACAUUGAAGUUCAGUGUUUAAUCAUGGUUUUUCAGACCAUCUUGUGCUGCUGAACUGGAAUUGAGCUCAUAAUUGGGGUAACUUCAAAGCAGACUAAUGCACCAUGAACAGGAGGCUAGUAGUCGUUUGGUUCCAUUAGAUGAUGUGGAGGCGAUGAACACUUAACAGUGCAACUGGACAAGAAUCAGAGUUGUCAUUAGUUGAUGACUGAAGGCGUUGUUGCUGUUGUUCAUGACUGAAAAGGAGAGAUACAGCUUCAAUUGGACGUGAACAAGCAGUGUUCCCACAGAAGACUGUGCAGACAUUCUCUUUCCAUUUGAUGCUCAACACUUGUUCGAGCAGAUCUGAGUCCAGCUAUUUCCCUUUGAUGCUCUCAAACUAACUGAUAAUGAGCCUCUAUCUGACAUCUUUCUUCACUUCCAUCUUUCUUCAAUCACGUGCAGCACAGCUUGUGGGGGAACCUACUUUCAACCCGGUACAUGCAUGAUAAAUGUAUGAACAUGUAAUCUAUAUGACGAACUCACCCUUCGAGGGUGACAAUAUGGUCGUAACUCUUGUAUGAUGGACAAGAAUCGUGAUUUUUGCCCAAACUCUACAAUGAAAAUUUUCGGAGUGACGGCCAAUGUGUCACCCACAAGUCUUGAGUUCAAGAUGCUUCAAGAAGGGUUUGCUCGGAUGCCAAAACAAUAGCACAUACAUCCUACAGGCAGUCUAUUCAUUUUACGUGAGACAGGGUAGGUUUGCUACUUGGUCUCUAAAAGGGUCUCUUGUUGUCCCAGUGAUCGCCUUCGUAAAGGCAAUAUAGGGGCCCAGUAGGUAAUUGGUUGGCACGUGUCCAACUAUUACCAGUCUAAGCACUCAACAAAGAGUUGGGGUUUACACAAACUUAAACCUUGACUCAAGUCGUAAGGUAAGCUGCUAGUCCCCCACCUAACCUAAAGCUGGUGUGUGCUUUCAAAAAUUAAAACUUGUGAUGCAUGAGAGAAAUAUAUACAAUGCAUGAAUAAAACACAAAUAAAUAAAACAAAGCACACAAAAAAAAAUUGAACACAUCAAAACACAAAGCUUAGUCCGAUAAAGUUGAAAACAAUACCAGUCCCCAGUGGAGUCGCCAUCCUGUCACACCCCAAAAAAAUCCUUCCGGCGCGCGGCAUCGGCUGGCGAUUUUUCUCGUUUGUUGUGUUUGCUUUGAAUUCGUUCGUGGGAGUCGCCACCUAGUAAUUCAUUGAGGGCUACUAGGAAACCUGAUGUACUGGUCUUGUCAGAGAUCGCGGGUAAGGGACUGGUUGUGGUUAGGGAAGGUAUUAGCACCCCUAACACACCCUACCUGAGGUAAGCUGCUUUGUGUUCUGAUGUGAUUUGAAAAUUUAAAAUAUUAAUUAAAUUCUAAGGCUUGAAUAAAUCAGUUAUUAAAUCCCCGAAUAUAUGUAAAAAACUUGUUCUUACAUUUUCAUGGAAAAUACAACUUGAUUUUAUUUGUCCUUAAGAUAUUUAAUCAUAUUUAAAUUAACAAUUAAUCUUUUUGUCCUUUUUUAUUUUUAUAAUUCAAUAACAUAAAAUAAAAUACAAACACACACAACUUUCUUUUUUUCAUUAUUUUUUUCUUUUCUUUUUUUUCUUUUUUUUCUUUUACAACACAUACAAAUACAAAUACAAAUAAAAAAUCAAAAUCAAAACAAAUAAAUAAAAUUACAUUAAUUAAUUCAAAAUUUACACAAUAGUCCCUAAAACUCCAAAAAUUGCAGGGAAGGACUUCUGGGGACUGCGUGAACAGUGGCGGCGCGUGGGUCCACGCGCCGCCGUGAGAAAGAAGCUGGAAACGGUGCGAUCUGUCUCAGCCUCUUCUCCCCCUCGUUUCCUCACCGGCGGUGAGAACAACGUCACCUGCAAAACACCAAGAAACGCAACAGCAAUGUUCCCGGAUCUGUUUCCUUUUUAGAUCUAUUCUCCUAUCUUUUCUGUUUUCAUUUCGUUGUUCUCUCCUUCUCCAGGUGAUAGAUCCGGUGGUUGUGGAGGAGUGCUGGAGACCGGAGGCGGACAGAUCGGAGAUCCGUGGGCGCCGCUGUUUCGGGCUGCUAUUGGAGGUUCCGAUCCGGUUGAGGAGCUGCGAAGAACAAAGGGAGCAGCUGAGAGGAAGGAACUGUGGAGGAGGAGCUGCUGCCGUUGGAGGACGCCGCUGAUGGUCUGGAGGAAGAGAAGACGACGGACAUAUAUGGGUCCGUGAGCACCGCUGUGUUCGGGCUGAAGAGAUCGCCGGCGAAGAAGACGCUGCUGAGGGGGAAAGCUUCGGGUUGAUGGAGAUGAACAGGAACGGCUGAGAGGGGGAUAAGGAAGUUGUCUUGGCCGGCUGGUUUGGGUCCGGUGAGGGAGAAGAAUGGGAAGAAAAACAAAUGAUCUGGGGCUGUUUUUUUUUUUGGGGCUGUUUGGCUGGGGUAAAAAAACCAAAGGGUGGGGGCUGCUGGCUUGAGAAAGAAAGGGAGAAGAUAUCUUGGCCGGCGGCUGGGAAAAAUUUAAAACCAGAGGGGGGGAAAAGAUGGUGGAACCGGCUGAAGAAAAAACCAAAAAAUGUGGGGGCGGCUGCUCUUCAAAAAAAAAAAGAUUAGGUUUAGGUUUUUUGUAUUUUUUUUAGUGUUUCCAAAUUAUCCCCCCUUUUGCAAGUGUUGGACACCAGUAUUUAUAGGCAAAAACAUAUUGACAAGUUUUCAACAUUGGUCCCUUAACUUUCUUUUUUUGUAAAAUUUAAUUUUUCUUGUUUUUUUGUAUUUUUUGAAAACGGCAAUAUCAACGUUGACUCAAAUGCAGAAAAUCAAUGAUUUUAAAAAUGACGCUUGAAAAGUCGAACGCGUUCGAAAGACCCUUAAAAAUUUAAAUUCUUUUUUUAGACGACGUUGAAAAUGCUAAAAUGACGAAAAUAUAUUAAAAAACAUAUUUUUUGGAUUUUCUUUGUUUUUCUCUAUUUUUGGAUUUUUUUAAAAAAUAUAUCAAAAACAUGGGUCAAAAAUUGGGUAGCAACAAUAAUAAUAAUAAUUUAUUGUCACUAUACUGGAUGUUUGGUGUCGCACCCUUGCUGCUGAGUGCGGCGUCGCAGCGACCCUCGAUUUUAGUUUUUUUGUUUAUUGUGUAAGGGAGUCGCCACCUAGUAUUAUGGUCACUAGGAACCCUGGCUGGUCUUUCAGAGAUUCUAAGGCAAGGGACUAGUUGUGUAAAGGGAAGGUAUUAGCACCCCUAGUACGCCCUACCUAAGAUAAGCUGCUUGGUGUUUGGUUUGCUAUGGUGUUCGUGUUUCCCCAUCAGUUUUCCUAGGUUUGAUUUAAACUAAAAUUAUUAAUAUAGAAAUCCAAGGAGAUUCCAUGUGCUUUAAAAGCUCAUUUUCUGUUAGUAUUUCAAGAGUUUGCGACUCGUAAAUAGCAAGGAAGAGGGACAAAAAUUUAGAAAUCUAGUGCGUUUUAAAAGCCUAUUUUUACCUUAGUGUUUUAUACUAUCACGACUUGUAAACCGUGGAGUAAAAAAUUAAAAUGUCAUCGAUUAUAAUCAAGGCUUCUUUCAAGGAUAUGUGAUGAAUUAUUAUUCCUAAAAAAAUAUUUUGAAUAUUUACCACUUAAGGUUUCUUUAUCCAAAUAUUAACAGUGAAUAGUAACAAGUUAUUCCCAAUAAUAUUUUGAAUAUUCAUUCCUUUGGGAUUUCUUUAUCCAAACAUUAACGGUGAAUAAUAGAUGAAUUCCCCCCAAAAUAAGAUUUUUUUUUAUUUUUUUUGAAAUAUUGACCAAUACCCUUUGGAGUUUUACAAACAUGUUGUAAAAUUCAGAAAUGCAAGAAAAUAAUUUUUGUUAUGUUUAAGAAAUCCAUGCGAAAAUAUAUUUUUGAAACUUCAAAUAUUUGUUUUUUAUAUAAAAAAACAUUUAAAACAUGUUAGGGUAUUGGCCGUAUACAACACAUAAGAAAACCAAUUUUGAUAUAUAUGUAUAUUUGUCGUAGUUGCGUCGAAAACCGGAUAUUCUAAAUAUGAGAUUGGUAUAUAUUGUUUUUACAACAUAAAAAAAAAAAAUCCGACUUUAAAAUAAAUAUUCCAGAAAAUAAAUCUCUUUCUCUUUCUUUUAUUUUUUCAAAAAAAAAAAACAAAACAGUAAGUCCGGCUGGGUCACUUGCCCAAACAAGUGAUUCGGCUGAACACAAAAAAAAGGGCGCAGUUAUAGUUCAAAGAAGGCUGGUGAAUACUGUUCAAGUGAAUUAAGUGCAAAUUCAAAAUAGAAAAAUGCAUGCUGCGAGUGAAGAGAAAAACAUACUUGGGAACGGAAGCGAAGAAGCUGCAGCGACGUUGAAAGCGUGAUGGUUGAUCCGUGUUUGUUUGUUUCAAAUCUUUUCCUCCGCUCUGUAUUUGCGUCUGUUUUCUGGUUUUUCUUUCCUCUGCAUCUUCAUCAGUCCCUCUCCAACGGGUUCCUGCACUUCCUUCAUCCCUGCUGCAGAUCUUAUAUGCAAAAAAAAAAAACCAAGACCAACAGUAGUCCCUGCUAGUUUAUGGUUUCUCUUCUCUUUUCCCUUUUUUCUCUUUUACUAUCAAUUUUCCCAACCUCACAGUAACACUGGCGAAUGAAAGAAACUUUCUCUAUUCUAUGCGUUUUUCUCUUCUAUCUUUGGCUGUUUUUUUUCUACUCUUUUCUCUUGUUUUUUCUUCUUUUUAUGCUUUUUUUCUAUCCCCAUUAGGUCAUUAGAAGGGCUUAUAUAUAGUCUAAAUAUAUCUCUAUUUAGGAAAGAUUCAAUGCAUUAAUUCUAGGAUGCAAAUCCCUUCUGAUUUGUAGUAAAAAAAAGCAAAAAGGAAACUUAAAUAUUCUGAUUCUAAUGUCUGAUUUCUUUUCAGUUUUUUAGAGGAUUGUGUGGCUUCAUUCUUUUCUUCCAUAGGGCCAGCUGCUCCCUUUGAAAUGAGGCAAUAAAAAUAUGGUUGCAGCUCCAAAAAUCAGGUGCGAUGAUAAAGGGAAACAACAGGAAUUUGAAGAGAAAAAAAAAGGAAAGAACUCAACCGGGAAGGUUCGUGCAAGAAAGAAAUCAGACGGGAGAGGGGUUGUUCUCAAAAUGACAAUCGUAAAAAAGAGAGCAAAACGUGAUCAACUCCCUUAUUUUCCUUUUCUGAUCUAAUCUCUAUUCUUCAAUUUCUUCAUCUAGCAAAAUUUCUUUCUAAUUUUACCUUCAAUCAACUUCCUUAUUUUAGCACCUUUUCCAUUUGGUCCUUUUGCCAAAAAAAAAAAGAUUCAAAUUGGCCUGCAUUUGGUCUUCAAACUUUUAAGCAUCUUGCAAUUGUGUCCCUACAAACUUGGGCAAAAAUCCUUCUUGCGGUAGAAAUCCCUACUUUCACACUAGAUAUUCAAACAGGAAUAUCUUGUCGAAAUCAAGCGAUUCGAAAGCUCAAAUUCAUCUACGUGUCCUGGACUACAACUUUGAUGAAGGAUUCAAAGUGAGAUAAAUUCGUUUUGAAUAACAGAAUUGUAACCAAACUCGGCUGGAAACCUUCUCGCGACAGGAUCUAAGUUUUCACGCUAGAUUUCAAACAGGAAUAUCUUGAGCUUCUGAUAUCGAAAUCAAGUGAUUCAGAAGUCCAAAUUCAUCUUCGUGUCUAGGAAUACAACUUUGAUGAAGGCGUCGAAGUGAGAUAAAAUUUUUUUGAAUAACAGAAUUGGAACCAAACUCGAUUGGAAACCUUUUUGCGGCAGUAUUUUAUGUUUUCACGCUAGAUUUCAAACAGGAAAAUCAAGUGAUUCAAAAUCUCAAAUUCAUCUACACGUCUAGGAAUACAACUUUGAUGAAGGAUUUGAAGUGAGAUAAAAUCGUUUUAGAGAACAGACUCUAGCAGUAAUCUAUUUGGUCAAAAAAGAUCUUCGGGUCUAAUUUAGAAACUGACAAUGUCAAGCAUCCCGAUAUGACUGAGAGUAUGAACUAAGAACAAAAAUCACAAAAUUUGUGAUGGAAAUAGAGUUUUUUUUUAGUGCAAACUCAGGUCAGUAUCCUUCUCGUGGCAGAAUUCUCUGCCUUCUCGUUAGAUAUUCAAACGGGAAUAUCUUGAGCUUCUGAUAUCGAAAUCAAGUGAUUUAAAAGCCCAAAAUUAUCUACAUGUCCAGGAAUACAACUUUGAUGAAGGAGUCGGAGUAAGAUAAAAAAAUUUUUAAAGAACAGAAUCUGGCAAUAAUCUAGUUGGUCAAAAAGGUUCUUGAUCUAACAAUGCUGAGCAUCCAAAUUUGACUUAAAAUUUGCCCUAAGAACAAUGAUCCCUAGGACCUAAUAAAGGUGUAGGUCAAUUUUUCAACAUGUCAUGAGUGACAGAAUAUAGCUAGGAUGGUUAGAUAUCGUACGAAACCAAGUCAGAAUCAGAGCCUAAGUUGGAACAAAAAAUUGCGACAGUAGCAUAACUAUUUUUUAGUGCAAAUUCUGAGGGAUUUAUCCAACCUUAAAAACCAGAUAAAAAAGAAACGAAUUUAACAUUAUGAAGACUCCUGAUCAACCUAAGAAAACCUUAUGAUUUUGAUAGCAAAUGGGAAGGAUAAAAAGAGUAGAAAACAACUCAAACAAGGUUUUGAAAAAAAAAUAUUUAUUUCUCUGCUUUUGUCAAUCUUCUGGCUAACAUGAGCUAAACUCCUACACUUAUUUCAAAAGAGGUAUACACCGUCUCCAGCACGUGAGAUCCAAAAUUGAGUAACAACAUUUGGUGUCCACAACAUUCUUCAUAGAUAAAGGAUUGCCAAAAUUAUACUAAUGUUGCUUUGGAAGCCACCGUUAACAAUGAUACCAUUAUACUCCGUGUAGGGAUUAGAGCAAUGGGUUGCGUGUAGUUUUCCUGCCUUCGAGAAUUGGAAAUAGUUUGUUGCCCUGUGUUGAACGAAAUACCAAUUAUACCCUCCGUCAAAAAAUUAGACAUCCAAGGAGUGAAUGGUUCGUUGCUGAUGUUAGUUAGGAAUCUCACUUCAAUCACCUUCCUUUUUAUAGUAGAUAUUCCAAAUGUGAGGGAGCUUCCCGAUGGGUUUUUGCAAAAUCAUACCCUAUGUCGCACGUGUGCGGCGGCGCGGCGAUCGUCCACCCUUACGGAAAACAAAAUGGAAAAUAUUUAUUCCUGGCAAAUAGGGAGAGACAAGGAAAUUCUUGUCUCUAUAUGUGAAAAAAUGGACUGGGAGUCGCCACCUAGUAUUCUGGUUACUAGGAACCCUAACUGGUCUUUAGAGAUCGGGUACGGAGACUGGUUGCGUAAAGGGAAGGUAUUAGCACCCCAACUACGCCCUACCUAAGGUAGGCUGCAUUGUUUUAAAUGUCUGAUAACAAUCUAAAAUCGUGUUGUUUUUUUUUUUAAUUGUUCGGAAUACGCAUUACAUGUAAUGUCAUAUCCCGGGUUCUAUUGUCCGAAAAAAGAAUUAAAUAUCCGGAAUAUGCAUUACGUUUAAUGUCAUACCCCGGAUACUAAGAGACAAACAAAAUAAAAUUUUUAAUUUUUUUUUGUAUUUUGUGGAAGUUUUUGAUGAAAACCGGGUAUUUAAAAAUCAGAUUUUUGUAUUUUUAACAACAUAAAAUACCACCCAAUAUUAAUUAAAAUGACAUAAAAACUACGCGGAAAAAUUAUAAAAUGCUAAAACAAAUAUUUUUGAUUUUUUUUCUUUGAAAUGGGCCGGGUCAGGCCCAAAUACAUGAGCUGGGCCGAACCUGGCCCAAAUGCAUGGGCUGGUCACUGUGCACAUAGUAACUGGGGGGUACUGUACACACAGUGACCAAAGAAUUAAUUAGCAAAUCCACAGUAACCGGGGUUACUGUGCACACAGUAAUGUGAAUUAAUUAGCCAGUUACUGUGCACAGCACAGUAACUCGCUAAUUAAUUCUGCAGAACGUAAACGUUCUGCAUGAACUGAAGCAAAAAAAACGACGGGAAAGGUAAGACGUUACCUGGAGCUGUGUUGAUGCUGGCAGCAGCUGAUGCAGCAGGGGUGGCGCUGGCGGUUCGCGGUGGCCGGCGGUUUUCCUUCUCUCUCUCUCCUCUGCUUCUUCCCGUUUUCUUCUCUGCUUCUUCCCUUAUUCUUCUCUGCCUUCUCUCCUCUCUUCUCACUCUAUUCUCCCUUCUGUUACCUCUUAUGUUCCCUCUCUCUCUGUCCUCCUUCCUCUUCUCUCUCCCCCCUCCUCUCUCUUCUCCUUUUUUCCCUCUCUAUUUAUAGAGCCCGUGAGCAUGUUUUUUUUCAUUGUGGAGCCAAGGAACAGGUCAUGCGGCGGCUGGUCGAGCGCGGCUGUCCAGGCGUGCCUCCCUCGGUUUCGGCGGUGCGGUAGGUGGUCGCCAAUGUCUUCGGUCGGUGGGCUAGAGGACCGCGGUCGGUGGGUUGAGGACCGACGUCAUUAAAUAUGCAUUCUUUCCCUUUUUCCUGCUGUAUGCUCGGUGGGAAGGAAGGGGAACAGUGCCGUUCAAAAACGCACUGUUUUGAGCUUUCUUUGAUUUUUUUUUUUUUUUUGUAUUUUUUUUUUUUUAUGAGGAUCCAAAAAUGGGUUACAACACCCUCCUUGAAAGCUUAGAUAUUGGUUGGAUGCCAGAUCUGGAGUCUUUGUCAAAUAGGGUAUUAGAUAACCUUUCUGCUCUUAAAAGGCUGAAGAUUUCGUUUUGCGGGAAACUUGAAAGCUUGCCAGAGGAAGGUCUUCAGAACCUCAAUUCCUUGGAGGUUUUAGAGAUAUGGUUUUGUGGAAGAUUAAAUUCUCUGCCAAUGAAUGGGUUGUGUGGCUUAUCUUCUCUUCGCAAGUUAUCUGUUAAAUAUUGUGAUAAAUUCACAUCUCUAUCCGAGGGAGUGCGGCAUCUGGCGGCACUUAAGGUUUUGUGGCUUAAUGAAUGUCCAGAGCUGAAUUCAUUGCCAGAGAGUAUCCAACAUCUCACUUCUCUCCAAUCUCUAUUCAUUUAGGGUUGUCCAAAUUUAAAGAAAAGGUGUGAGAAAGAUUUAGGAGAGAACUGGCCUAAGAUUGCUCGCAUCCCGCACAUUACUAUCAUCCUUUGAUGGAUUGGACGCAUCAAUAUUGGAAUGACGGCGACAUUGGGGAUUGUAAUAGAUUACAGCAAUUGGACUUUUUGGCAUUGCAUUUAUGGGUAUAAAGAUUUCAUCGUAAUUUCCUUCCCCGCGUAGUUUCUUUUGGGGAAAUUGUUGUUCAUGCCUUUUCUUUCUUUACUUAGCCUAGUAAAUUACAAGAGCGAGACCACAUGAACCUUGAGUUACCAUUACCUUGUACUUGCGAUUCUACUUCAUACUAUCUUUGUUCGUCUUAUUUUAUAAAUCAUAAAUAUCUUCAUUAUGAGGAUCUUCUGGUGUGUUUUUGAUAACAUUUAGCUAGAGCUCUGAAUUCUGAUUUUCCUAGUUGAGGCAUCGACAUUGAAAUCAGGUUGCUAGAACUCUGAAUGCAUGUCCUGAGAAGUAGAACACCAAGUAGUCAUCUGCCAGACAUUCCUCCAGAAGCCACUUCAGGGCAUUCUGAAAGUUCUUUGCAGGAACCAAUCUUUAAUCAGAUUCUCCCUUCUGAAAAUCCUUUAUGGUUUUCAUUACCAAAGGAAAUGAUAGUAAUGUCAUCGAUCAAUAGCCAUAGAAGGAAAGGAAUCGAGUAGGAAAUUAUACUGAUGAUGUAAUUCUCGUUUUCUCACUGAUGAAAUACUGUUGAGAACAAGAUGUUCUGUUUCCAGAAUUGAUGUUACUAUCAGCAAAAGUGCAGGCUUCCUUGGUUUAGCGUCAGAGGAUGACAUGGAAGUGUGGCCGAAGGAGGAGAUGACAUUUCAAAGAUAUUAUGGUACUAGACUUUGGAUGGUGAGUAGUCAACUGAUGACCAUUUGCUGGCACCUAUUGGAAUUACAGGAUCCUCUCUGUUAUGCAUAAUCACCCCUGCUAAUCUGGCUGUAACAUCAGCAUGCAUAACCUUGAUGAAACCUUCAAUUAUGAGAUGAAAACAUAAAGAUCAGGUAAAUGCUCUAUGAAAGAAAACAAGAUUGACUUGCAUUUUUAAUUAAUCAAUGCACUUAAAAGACAGUGCUUAGAACUAGACUAAUCAACAAGUCUUGAGCUUGAUUCUCCCUGAUUUACAAGAAACAAUAAAAAAAUGCCUUAACAGAUGCCAAUGGCUCCUCCAUUUAGAUUUUAUAGGUAAACAGUGCUGGUAACAUCAUGGAAAAUCUUUCUAACCUCAUGUCCAACCCUCGUCAUCUAAUCUGUUUGACAAACACCAGUUGUUACUGCAACAACUGGUGUUAGUCAUGGAGCCACUUUUAGCACGCUUCAAUUUAGUAGAUGCUGUAAUAAUAUUAUGAAAAUUUGUGGUGGAAAUGCUGAUUGUGCUGGUUCCUUCGUGGUUGCUGGAUGAUGGAAGCUGAAAUAUAUAUUUUUAUGUGAGGUAUUUCAACAUAUAGGAGGAGUUGCCAUGUCUUUCUCUGAAAUCUAACCAUUGACAGCAACUCAUCAAGUUGUGUUUGGAACACUCCAAAAGACACCCCGCCGGCACCAUAAAAUAAAUUUUGUCCAAAGAAAAAUUGUGUUGUAGCAACAUAUGAUCUGAUGACUCGGAAUAAUUAUAAUUAAAAUAGUUUAAAUAUAAAUUCAAUAUUAUCCUAAUAGCUUGAAGUUUAUUAUAGAAUUAAACCAUAAAAAAUGAGGGAGGGAGGUUUCUGGGUGAUGGAAGCUGAAAUAUUUUUUUAUGCGUGUACAUGAUGAACGAGUUGAUUAAUUAUUCAAUUAAGGUUUGAUUUUAAUUGAUCCUCUACUAUUUGCAAAUUUGUCAACUAGCCACAUUUAUUUUAAGUUUUCUUUCAAUAUUUAUCUAGCAUUUUAUAUUUGGCAUUUGUUUUUCCAAUUUCACACUCAAUUUUUAAAAAAAUUCAAUUUUUAAAGACAUUUCAUUUGUAUUUUUAUUAAAAUUAUAUAUAUAUAUAUAUAUAUAUAUUUAUAAAAACAACAUUAUUUUAUAAAAAAUUAAACAAUUUCCCUUAUGCAAGUUAUGAUUGAGAAAUAAAAAUAAUUUAGGAAUAAAAUUGGUAAAAAAUAGUUGAUGAUUUUUUUCUGUCAAGCUAUAUUUUUACUUAACAUUUGAGUUAUUUUUAGACUUGUAAAAUCGAUUAUAUCACAUCAUGUAAAUAUCUAUAUAUAAUGUUUUAGAAAAUAUAUUAAGUGAAUGACCUCGUCAACUUUGCUAUUAAAAACAUAAUAGGUUCGAAUCAUUUUCCAUUUAUAAUAGUGUUUAGAUAAGUGAAUGACCUCAUCAACUUUGCUAUUAAAAACAUAAUACGGGCAACCAUGUUAUUAUGGUUUGGAUCGAGGUCGGGACAAGUGCUGGAGUUCAUGAUCUUGACCACCUAGCUUGUUUGAAUAAUUCUCUUCUAUCACCAUUUUUUUUUAAUGUUUGUUUUGAAUAAGUUAUUGAGAUUAGUUGUGAUUAUUAUGUCAUUCUACUGUCAUUAAGAAUAAAUUAGUUCUAACGGAGGGUUAAAACACAUAUAUCAAAAACUUUUUGCACUGUCUAGCAAAUGGAGAAUUCACAGCUUAAAGAGUUAAUCACGUUUACAAAUAUAGGAAGGAUUCUCAGUUGGUCCAGGUUUAAAACAGGAAAAGGCAUGCAAUGUUUAAUGGAAUUGACUGAUAAAAUUCAAUCCACUCAAGAUGAUAAGGAAAUGGGUGGAAAACAUAUAUAAAACUAUAUAUUAGAAUAGCAUACAUAACCAACAAGCAAAUUCAAGUGGACAAAUGUUGCUUGAAAUCACAGCCAUGUUCCUUCUCUGAAACUUCAAUUGCUUUAUUAUACUAUUAUAGGCAUAGCCAAGUCAAGCCUGCACCGCGUGGAGCCUAAUCAAUACAAUCAGAGACUGCUGUUUGCCUUUUCCAUUUUGCAUCUCAUACUGCUCUGUCUUCUCAAUAUUUACUUGCCAUUUCUUGCUCACCUCCCCUGCUUUUAGUUUUCCUUGCACCUUUUCUACCUCUUCUUUCCAUUCCAAAACAAGCUAUGGCUGAUGCAAUUCUUUCUGCUCUCGCGAGUACAAUCGUGGGAACUUGGAUUCCUUAUUUCUUCAAGAGCAUGGACUUGCUGGGGGCCUAGAGACUGAGCUUGAAAAUCUCAAGCGCACGUUCAGAACCAUUCAAGCUGUGCUGCAAGAUGCAGAGGAGAAGCAGUGGAAGAGUGAGCCUAUCAAGGUGUGGCUCAGCGACCUCAAGGAUGCAGCUUAUGUUGUUGAUGAUGUACUGGAUGAGUUUGCAAUUGAAGCUCAGUGGCUUCUGCAGCGAAGAGAUCUCAAAAAUCGAGUAACAUCCUUCUUUUCUUUUGGUCAUAAUCCACUAGUUUUUCGACAAAGGAUGGCUCAUAAAUUGAAGAAUGUUAGAGAAAAACUAGAUGCCAUUGCCAAGGAGAGACAAAGUUUCCACCUAACAGAGGGGGUUGUGGAGAUGGAAACAAAUAGUUCUGUUCAGCGUCAGACUUGGUCUUCGGUGAAUGAAUCAGAAAUUUAUGGAAGAGGCAAGGAGAAAGAAGAACUAGUCAACAUCCUGCUCUCUAAUGCAGACAAUCUCCCUAUUUAUGCUAUAUGGGGAAUGGGGGGACUAGGAAAAACAACACUUGUUCAACUGGUCUUCAAUGAAGCAAGUGUUAAACAGCAAUUCGUUUGAGGAUCUGGGUGUGUGUAUCUACUGAUUUCGAUCUCAGAAGAUUAACAAGAGCCAUCAUAGAGUCCAUUGAUGGUGCCUCUUGUGAUCUUCAAGAAUUGGAUCCCUUGCAACAUGCCUCCAACAGAAAGUUAACUGGAAAGAAGUUUUUGCUUGUAUUGGAUGAUGUGUGGGAUGAUUAUGGUGAUAGGUGGAAUAAAUUGAAGGAGGUAUUAAGGUGUGGGCUAAAGGUAGUGCUGUCAUAGUAACUACGCGUAUUGAGAUGGUUGCUCAGAAUGGCAACAGCUUUUGUCAAGCACAUGGGGAGAUUGUCUGAAGAAGAUUCUUGGCAGUUGUUUCAACAGCUUGCAUUCGGGAUGAGAAGGAAAGAGGAGCGGGCACGCCUGGAAGCCAUUGGAGUAUCAAUAGUGAAGAAGUGUGGUGGUGUUCCUUUAGCUAUAAAGGCACUAGGGAACCUAAUGCGGUUAAAAGAAAGUGAAGAUCAGUGGAUAGCUGUCAAAGAAAGUGAGAUUUGGGAUCUAAGAGAAGAAGCAACGAGAUCUUACCUGCUUUGAGGUUGAGUUACUAAUCUAUCACCACAUUUGAAGCAAUGCUUUGCGUAUUUCGCUAUAUUUCCAAAAGAUCACGUGAUGAGGAGGGAGGAGCUGGUUGCUUUGUGGAUGGCAAAUGGCUUUAUUUCUUGCAGAAAGAAAUGGAUUUGCACGUCAUGGGCAUUGAGAUAUUCAAUGAACUAGUGGGAAGGUCAUUUCUGCAAGAGGUCGAGGAUGAUGGAUUUGGCAACAUAACAUGUAAAAUGCAUGAUCUUAUGCAUGAUCUUGCACAAUCCAUUGCAGUACAAGAAUGCUAUAACAGAAGGCGAUGGGAGUUGGAAAUUCCUAAAACUGCCCGUCAUGUUGCUUUUAUAACAAAUCAGUAGCUUCGUCUUCUAAGUUCUCAAGGUCCUAUCACUUCGCUCACUUCUUUGAGGAAUGAAGAGUAUGGAUGGAUGGGGAAAGAUUCCUGGUCGAAAACAUCGAGCCUUGAGUUUAAGAAUAUCCGGGUGAAGAAAUUGCCGAAGUCAAUUUGUGAUUUGAAACAUCUAAGGUAUCUAGAUGUGUCAGGCUCGAAGAUCAAAACACUGCCUGAAAGUACAACCUCUCUCCAAAACCUCCAGACACUAGAUCUGAGAGAUUGCAAUAACUCAUCCAAUUACCAAAAGGUAUGAAGCACAUGAAAAGUCUUGUCUAUCUUGACAUCGGGUUGUUAUUCACUUCGAUUUAUGCCUUGUGGAAUGGGGCAAUUGAUAUUCCUGCGAAAACUUACCCUGUUCAUUGUGGGUGGGAGAAUGGUCGUCGCAUAAGUGAGCUGGAAGGGCUGAAUAAUCUUGCUGGUGAAUUGAGUAUCACAGAUCUUGUGAAUGUUAAGAAUUUAAAAGAUGCCAAAGUGCCAAUUUGAAGUUGAAGACAGCUCUUUUAUCACUGACUUUAUCUUGGCAGGAAUGGAGAUUACCUUUUUGGCCCUCUGUCAUAUGUGCCACCAGAACAAAGAAAGAGUGUGGAUAUGGAGGUCCUUGAAGGGCUUCAACCUCAUUCAAAUCUGAAGAAGUUGAGGAUAUAUGGAUAUGGAGGUUCAACAUUUCCUAAUUGGAUGAUGAAGCUACCAUAUCUGGUAGAGAUGGAGCUAUCAGCGCACCACUGUGAACAACUUCCACCAUUGGGGAAACUACAGUUCCUCAAGAGUCUUAAAUUAUGGGGAAUGGAUGGUGUGAAGAGUAUUGACAGCAAUGUGUAUGGAGAUGGGCAGAAUCCAUUCCCAUCUUUGGAGACGCUGGCUUUCUAUUCAAUGGAGGGAUUAGAGCAAUGGGCUGCGUGUACUUUUCCUUGCCUUCGAGAUUUGAGGAUAGUCGGUUGCCCUGUGUUGAACGAAAUACCAAUUAUACCCUCCGUCAAAACAUUACACAUCACGGGAGUGAAUGCUUCGUUGCUGAUGUCAGUUAGGAAUCUCACUUCUAUCACCUCCCUUGAUAUAGGAGGGAUUCACGCUAUAAGGGAGCUUCCCGAUGGGUUUUUGCAAAAUCAUACCCUCCUUGAAAGCUUAGAAAUUGGUGGGAUGCGAGAUCUGGAGUCUUUGUCAAAUAGGGUAUUAGAUAACCUUUCUGCUCUUAAAAGCUUGAGGAUUUUUGAAUGCGAGAAACUUGAAAGCUUGCCAGAGGAAGGUCUUCGUAACCUCAAUUCCUUGGAGCUUUUAAGCAUAAAGUAUUGUGGAAGAUUAAAUUGUCUGCCAAUAAAUGGGAUGUGUGGCUUAUCUUCUCUUCGCGAGUUAUCUAUUGGAAGUUGUGAUAAAUUCACAUCUCUAUCAGAGGGAGUGCGGCAUCUGACGACACUUGAGGAUUUGAAGCUUGAAGGAUGUCCAAAGCUGAAUUCAUUGCCAGAGAGUAUCCAACAUCUCACUUCACUCCAAUCUCUAAGAAUAUGGAACUGCGAGGGAUUAGCUUCUUUGCCAAAUCAGAUUGGAUAUCUCACUUCUCUCCAAUCUCUAUACAUUCGGGGUUGUCCAAAUUUGAAGAAAAGGUGUGAGAAAGAUUUAGGCGAGGACUGGCCUAAGAUAGCUCACAUUCCUAGCAUUGACAUUAGAUGAGAAUAAAUUUUAUUUUUUUAGUUUUAAUUUGUUGUAAUUUUUUAAAUAACUUUAUCAAAUUCAUUAUUGUUAUAUUUUUCAUAUAAAUGUGUAAAAAUAAUUGAUUCAUGAUUAUUAUGGGGACAUUGGGGAUUGUGAUAGAUUAUUGUAUAGAGAUUAGACUUUUUGGCAUCGCAUUUAUGGGUAUAAAGAUUUUAUUGUAAUUUCCUUCCUCACAUAUUUUCUUUUGGUGAAAUUGCUUUUAGCUAAAGAUUACAUGAACCACGCUACGCAAACUGGAAAAAAAAAUCUUGGCAUUCAAACAUAUUUUAAAAAACAAGAAAAUGUUGGGAUCUGGAUCAUCAACUCGGCUAGGCUAGAUCAAAUAAGUUUCUCCUAUCUCACAACAUCUUAUGCACCAAACAAAGAAAUCAAAAUAGCGACCAUUUUAAGAAAAAAUAACAUUAAUAAAAAAAUAACAAAAAUACAUUUUAAUCUAACAGGUGUCAUAAAAGAAUUGAGAAUCCAAGGGGAAGAAAUGAUCUAAGCAAACCCCAAGUGCGCUUCUGGACAUGCAACCCAUGUAUAAGAUAAUGAUAAUUUUUUAAAAAUCUUUUAAAAAAUAAAAAAUAGAAUACAAAGCGUAUAAACAGAAAAAAAAAAAAUAUUGUGAUCUUUCUAACACUCUUGAAUGGGCAAUUUUCAUUAUCUCCUCUCGAUGUUCCACCUAAAACAUGUAGAGUGAUUUAACAUGAUGACCCGUUAACAAAAUGCACCAACAAUAAUUUUUAUUUAAAUAUUAUUUUUUAAAUAUCAAACUGGCCCUGUUUUAACCCACAAUUACAAAAUAAUUGAAUUGAAAAGACAAAUAUACCCUUUCACCCUAGUUUAAAAAAUCUUGACUUAAGGAUGUAAUUAAGUAAAUAAAUUGUUCAUUUGAAAAGUAGAAAACGGGCCGGCCCUUGUCUUGACCCAAUGAUUACCAAAAGACCAAAAAAAAAAAUUACGAGUAACCUUAAGAACACAGUUAAAAUAUAUUUGUUUUAAAGGGCAACAAAGUUAAUUCAUUAUGUUUUUUUAAUUAAAAAAUUAUAAUCACCCCUCAAUUGAAGCAAUUUUUAUUGCAUAUCAAGGGCAUCUGAGUCAUUACACUAUAUAAUAUAUAUAUAAAAAUACAUUCUAGAUCCUAAUCAAAUUAAUAAUGAUAGAUAUGUCCAAUUACAAUUGGACCCUGAAAAUAAUGUAAAUGAGUUUUUUAAGGUUAAAAUAAUAAAUAUACUAUUGUCGUCCACAUUUCUCUAAGUUUGUGUGCGCAGUAAAUUCAAAAUUUGUUUUAGUUUUUUUUAUGUAACUUUAUUUUUUUGUUAAUUUUUAAAUAUUUUUGAAUUCACACCUCUUUUAUUUAAUGAAACAGGCCGCAUACUAUUUUCAGAGAUCCGUUUAAGAGGGGCAAUAGCAUCCUUGUGAGUGCAAUUUUGUUCCCUUAUAUCUUUCCACUUGAUAUCGCCACCACAGCUUGAUCUCAUUCUCUCCGAUGUUGAUGUUUAUUGGAUUAGUCAUAUGUGAAGCUUAAACUCAAGAUGUUGUUGCUGAAGGGCUCUGGUAUUUUAUUUUAAUUUUAUCCUAAUCCACCCUUACUUUCUUCAUUCUUUUUUCUUAUAAGAUAACUGCAAAGUGUUUUAUAAUUAUGAUUAAUGAGCAAUCUGAUAAAAAAAACCAGGAAUGACCUUGAGCAAGAAUACAUCUAUUGGUUGGUCUCUUGGUGGUUAUCCUGGUCCUCCGGGACCAUACUACUGUGGUGUUGGUGUUGACGAAGCCUUCGGCAUUGUUGAUGCACAGUAGACGGCAUGCCUGUAUGCCGGUAUGAACAUUAGUGGUAUGAACGGAGAAGUGAUGUCGGGCGAGGUAAAAUAAAAGAACGAGCAUAUCCCCUCUACCAUUUUGAUCUUACAGUUCUAGUUUAGAACCAUUCUAAUCUUGUUCUGUCUUACAACGUUAAAGUGGAAAUUUCAUGCAGUGGAAAUUUCACGCUGGACCUUCAGUCGGUAUCUCUGUUGGAGAUGAAUUAUGGGCUGCAGCUCGGUACAUUCUGGAACUAUUCCCAUUUCUAUUGUUUUCUGAAAUGUCUAUAUUUAUGUUAACAGAGGAUUACUGAGGUUGCUGGAGUUGUGCUUUCAUUCGAUCCUAAGCCAACUCAGGUCAGUUUUUAUUUCAUCGUACCCUACUGGAUGCUGCCAGUGUGCAUGUUUUCAGUACUUUUAUUGUCUGAGCUCUCAGGAAAUUGGACUUCUGUUUUGUCAAGAAGAUUGGAAAGGAGCGGGGGCACACAAAAAUUACAGGUUCAAAUUUUUUUCGUUGAUUGAAGCUUAAUUUAUUUGCUUCUUUGUUCCACACUUGCUAUUUUUUUUUUAAUCUUAUACUUGAAAAUUCUUCACAUUUUCUGUGCUAUGUCUAUGAGAAAUGAAGGAGGCUGUGAAGUCAUCAAGAAAGCAGUUGAAAAGCUUGGUAUGAGGCAUAAAGAACAUAUCGCAGUCUAUGGCGAAAGGGAUUGAGCAGAGACUUGUUAAUUAUUUGGAGACAAACCAUGUCCCACCAUGUGCAAGUGGGAAUCCCCCACUUUGCACACGGUGGAGGCAACGGUGGACACAAAUGAUGAUGUCCUUCCCUCAUCCCUUGUAUAUGUAUAUGAGCUGUGUGUGUGCAUGUAUAACAGUGUGUGAAGAGAAGAAGAGAGAGUUGCAGUUGUGUGAAACACAAAGAGAAACACAUAGAGAGAGCUAGGGAGAGUUGAGUUGAGUUGAGAAGAAUUUUCUCAUCCUCCUUGUUUUGUUGUUUGUAUUGUUUGUAAGCUUGAUUAAUACAAACCAAUAGCUCCGUGGAGUAGGCAAGUUGCCGAACCACGUAAAUUGUGUGUGUUUGAGUUCUGGAAAUAUCCCAACAACUGGUAUCAGAGCUUGUUCUUGACGAAGAGGGUGUUUGAUCCAAACUCAAAAAUCAAUGUUCUCAAAACGUGUUUUUGACCAUACCAUCGUGUAGAGGACAACCGGACGAAUCCACUGGUGAAAACCCGGCGAAGAACCGACGUCCUGCAUGCCCGCACGCGCCACCGCACAGACGGCCCACGCGCAGCAACGCGCCUCACGCGCGACACGCUCCUUCUUCACCCGUUUUUCUGCAAAACGGGUCGGGUCUGACCCGCCACGUCAGCCAAGUCGCACGGUCAACGCCACGUCACCUGCCACGUCAUCCAUCUGGGUUUUGAUCUGGUGCACCGCAGAUGGUAAUCGUCUGACACGUGGCUGCAUCAUCACCGUCGAAGGGUUUGAUCCGGUGCGACUCAGGCUCUAAUCGGAGGACACGUGGACUAAUCUGCACCGUCACUGAGUUUUGAUCCGGUGCGACUAAAGGCUGUAAUCUGCUGACACGUGGCUUCAUCAGAACCGCUACUGAGUUUUUAUCCGGUGUGACGCAUGCCUUACUCUGUCUGACACGCGGCUGCAUCUGAACCGUCCGUUAAUCCAAAACUUUAAUUGCUAAAAUCUGAGCCAUCCAAAGUCCGAUUGGGGUGAUCUCAGUGUCAUUUCCAAGGUUUUUGGCCGUUCCGGACACAUCUGUAAGGUCAGAUUUGGCAAAUUCUAAUCAGAGAAAUAUUAAAAAUGGCAGAUGAAAUAAAGGCUGCAGGAAUUGAAAAAUUUGACGGAACAGAUUUUGGAUACUGGAAAAUGCAGAUUGAGGAUUAUUUAUAUGGGAAGAAACUUCAUCUUCCCUUAUUGGGAAGCAAACCAGAAAAGAUGGAAGAAGAAGAAUGGCAACUUCUUGAUAGACAAGUUCUGGGCAUUAUCCGGCUAUCGUUAUCAAGAAGAGUUGCUCACAAUGUUACGAAAGAAAAAUCCACUGCAAAAUUGAUGGAAGCCUUGUCUGGGAUGUAUGAGAAGCCAUCAGCAAAUAAUAAAGUGCACCUGAUGAAAAAGUUGUUCAACUUGAAGAUGGUCGAAAACGCUUCUGUGACACAACACCUCAACAACUUUAAUACCAUCACAAAUCAAUUAUCAUCUGUUGCGAUUGAGUUUGAUGAUGAGAUUCGUGCACUCAUCUUGCUAGCUUCACUUCCAAGCAGUUGGGAAGGCAUGAGGACAGCCGUGAGCAAUUCAGCUGGAAAAUCCAAACUGAAGUAUGAUGACAUUCGAGACUUGAUUUUGGCUGAAGAAGUGCGAAGGAAAGACUCGGGUGAAAGUUCAAGCUCAGGAUCAGCUCUCAACAUCAACACUCGAGGGAGGAGACACGAUAGAGGCUCAUCCAGAGGCAGAUCAAAAUCCAGAUACAGAAGUAAAAGCAAGUUUGGAUCCAGAAAGCAGGUUGAAUGUUGGAAUUGUGGCAAACCUGGUCAUUUCAGUAGGAAUUGCACAAAACCGAAGAAACCUGAAGUUGACUCUGCAAACGCUACCACAGAUGAGGUACAAGAUGCUUUAAUUCUUGCUGUGCAAAGUCAAAUUGAUGAGUGGAUUCUUGAUUCUGGUGCUUCAUUCCACUGUACGCCACACAAUGAAAUACUGCAAAAUUAUGUUGGAGGAGAUCAUGGUGUAGUCUAUCUGGCCGAUGGAACACCACUGAAGAUUGUGGGUAUAGGAGAUGUGCAAAUCAAGACAAUGAAUGGACCUUGUAGAAUGUAAGGCAUGUUCCUGAAUUAAAGAAGAAGUUGAUCUCUGUCGGACAACUUGAUGAUAGUGGUCAUUCAAUACUUUUUGCUGGAGGAAUGUGGAAAGUAUCAAAGGGAGCAAUGGUUUUAGCUCGUGGAAAGAAAACCGGCACCCUGUAUAUGACCACAAGAUUUGCAGACAUCAUUGCCUCAACUGAAGCAGAAAAUCAAGCACAUCUAUCGCAUUGUAGACUUGGCCAUAUGAGUCAAAAGGGGAUGAAGAUAUUUAGUCGAAGGGAAAGCUGCCAGAGUUAAAAAAUGUCGAUCUAGACAUUUGUGAAAGCUGUGUUCUUGGAAAACAGAAGAAGGUCAGUUUCUUGAAGGUUGGCAGGACCUUACGACCAAGAAAGCUAGAACUGGUACACACAGAUUUAUGGGGACCGUCUCCAGUAGCAUCUCUUGGAGGUUCUCGGUAUUAUGUGACUUUCAUUGAUGACUUCAGCAGGAAGGUAUGGGUUUACUUUCUGAAAAAUAAAUCUGAUGUGUUUGAAACAUUCAAGAAAUGGAAGGCUAUGGUUGAGACUGAAUCAGGUCUAAAGUUGAAAUGCUUGAGAUCUGAUAAUGGAGGAGAAUACAUUGAUGGAGGUUUCAAGGAGUAUUGUGCUGUCAAUGGUAUCAGAAUGGAAAAGACCGUUCCAGGCACACCGCAACAGAAUGGCGUUGCUGAACGGAUGAACAGGACCAUCAAUGAACGAGCUAGAAGCAUGAGGUUGCAUUCAGGGUUACCUCAAACAUUCUGGGCUGACGCAGUUCAUACCGCAGUUUACUUGAUCAACCGUGGACCAUCAGUUCCUUUGGAAUUCAGAUUGCCCGAGGAAGUAUGGAGAGGAAAAGAGGUACGACUCUCUCAUUUGAAGGUCUUUGGGUGUGUUUCCUAUGUUCACAUAGAUUCUGAUGCUCGCAACAAGUUAAGCCAAAUCCAAGAAAUGUUUCUUCAUUGGCUAUGGAGAUGAAGAAUUUGGAUUUCGGUUCUGGGAUGAUCAGAAUAGAAAGAUUAUCAGAAGCAGGAACGUGAUCUUCAAUGAGAAAGUUAUGUACAAAGACAGAUCAAGUGAGAAACAGAGAUGGCUGAUUCAGAUACAAGUCCACAAAGAUCUGAAUUCAUAAGAUUAGAAGGGCUUCCCGAUGUUACUAAGCAGAACAACAAUCAAGAGUCUUUACAAGAAGAUUCAAGCACAUCUGUGCCCACUUCCACACAAGAAGAUGCGGAGCAAUUGAACCAGCUGUUCGCAGGUCUUCGAGGACGAUAAAGCCCCCGCAACGGUUCACACUUUUACUGAAUUAUAUUUUGCUGACAGAUGGUGGUGAACCGUUACUUAUGAAGAAUCCUUACAAGAUGGAAACUCAAGCAAGUGGGAGUUAGCCAUGAAGGAUGAGAUGAGUUCGUUGCUGAAGAACAAGACUUGGGAGCUAACACAUUACCUGAAGGAAAGAAGGCCUUGCAAAAUAAGUGGGUUUACAGAGUGAAGACUGAGCAUGACGGAAGCAAACGGUUCAAGGCAAGACUUGUUGUCAAAGGGUUUCAACAAAGAAAGGCAUUGACUACUCUGAGAUUUUUUCUCCAGUUGUGAAGCUCACAACAAUCAGAGUUGUUCUGGGGAUAGUAGCUGCAGAAAAUUUACAUCUUGAACAGUUAGAUGUAAAAACAGCAUUCCUUCAUGGUGACUUGGAGGAAGAUAUUUACAUGCAACAGCCAGAGGGGUUUGCAAUGCAAGGAAAGGAGAAUCAAGUCUGCAAGCUACAGAAAAGCCUAUACGGUUUGAAGCAAGCUCCAAGACAGUGGUACAAGAAGUUUGACAACUUCAUGUGCAGUUCCGGGUAUACAAGAUGCCAAGCUGAUCAUUGUUGCUAUGUCAAACAUUUUGACAACUCCUACAUCAUUCUACUAUUAUAUGUAGAUGAUAUGUUGAUUGCAGGAUCCAGCAUUGAGGAGAUUGAUAAGCUGAAACAGCAGUUGUCGAAACAGUUUGAAAUGAAGGAUCUGGGAGCUGCUAAACAAAUACUUGGCAUGAGAAUCAUCAGAGAUAAAGACAAAGGCAUACUAAAGCUCUCACAAACAGAGUAUGUCAAGAAGGUUCUCAGCAGGUUUAGUAUGGAUAAUGCUAAACCAGUAAGUACACCACUGGGGAAUCAUUUCAAGCUCAGCAAAGAUCAGUCACCAAAACUGAGCUAGAAAGUGGAUACAUGGAUAAGAUUCCAUACGCCUCAGCUAUCGGCUCUUUGAUGUAUGCUAUGGUCUGUACCAGACCAGACAUUGCCCAUGCAGUGGGAGUUGUAAGCCGAUAUAUGAGCAAUCCUGGAAAGCAGCAUUGGGAGGGUGAAAUGGAUCAUGAGGUACUUAAAAGGUUCAUCGGAAACUUGUCUCAGUUUCACAGCUGGUGGUUUGAAACUUGAAGGUUUUGUAGAUGCUGAUCUAGCAGGAGAUGUUGAUAGCAGAAAGAGCACUACAGGAUAUGUUUAUACUCUAGGAGGUACUGCUGUUUCCUGGAGUUCUACCUUGCAAAAGAUCGUUGCUCUUUCAACAACAGAAGCUGAAUAUGUUGCAGUCUCAGAAUCUGCAAAAGAGAUAGUAUGGUUGCAGAGUUUCUUGAAAGAAUUGGGCAAGUUGAAUGGAAAAGGUACUUUGUAUAGCGACAGUCAGAGUGCAAUCUUCCUUGCCAAGAAUCCAGCAUUUCACUCCAGGACGAAGCAUAUUCAGAUCAAAUAUCACUUCAUCCGACAACUGCUGGACGACGAGCAACUAAUGCUAGAAAAGGUCUGUGGAAGCAAGAAUCCAGCAGACAUGUUAACCAAAGGAGUUACACUUGAGAAACUGAAGUUGUGCAAAACUUCAGUUGGCCUUCAAGGAUAAAAGAUAAUUUCAUUGUUUGUCUCCAAGUGGGAGAUUGUUAAUUAUUUGGAGACAAACCAUGUCCCACCAUGUGCAAGUGGGAAUCCCCCACUUUGCACAUGGUGGAGGACACAAAGUGGAGGCAACGGUGGACACAAAUGAUGAUGUCCUUCCCUCAUCCCUUGUAUAUGUAUAUGAGCUAUGUGUGUGCAUGUAUAACGGUGUGUGAAGAGAAGAAGAGAGAGUUGCAGUUGUGUGAAACACAGAGAGAAACACAUAGAGAGAGCUAGGGAGAGUUGAGUUGAGUUGAGAAGAAUUUUCUCCUCCUCCUUGUUUUGUUGUUUGUAUUGUUUGUAAGCUUGAUUAAUACAAACCAAUAGCUCCGUGGAGUAGGCAAGUUGCCGAACCACGUAAAUUGUGUGUGUUUGAGUUCUGGAAAUAUCCCAAGACUUACCGGACAGCGGCACGAAACAGAGGAUAUUAGUACUUUCAAUUGGGUAAGAGGGAAAAGAAACAAUUUCCUUGCUGCUUAAGUUCUUUUAUUAUAAGAUGUCUUACAUUAGUUUCUUUACAUCUUGUUCGAUUGACAAGGUUUUGCUAAUCGCAAAGCUUCCAUUUGUGUUGGCCGUGACAUAGAGAAAGAAGGAAAGGGGUAUUAUGAGGAAAUAAGGCCUGCUUCAAACAUGGAUCUAUAUCUUGCGACUUCCAUGAUUGUAGAAACCACCAUCCUGUGGAAGCCAUGAGAAUCUCAAGCAACACCUCAAACAAAAUAAUGUUGUUGGAAGUAGUACUUACAAGGAACCUUGGAAAGAUUUGUGUCAGUAGGAUGGAUAUCUUUCAAUUUGUUUCCAGUUGUAUUUGAGGCUGCAAGGGAUGUUAUUCCUUUGCUUGCUUGUCUUAUGAUUGAUUCGGCAUUUUGUGUUGAAUAAUGAAAUCUUAACUUUAAUCAUGUGAUGUUUUGUAUUAAAAAGAUUGGAAAAUAAAAUAAAGCCCUUGGAAGCUUAAAAAGAGGGUAUAAAUGAUUGAAGGGUAGUGUGGUAAUUGACCAAUAGUUGAUAAAUAUAAAUAAGAAAAAAAAAAAGAAUGAUAUGAUUUUGAGAGAAAGAGAGCUGCGGGAGAGAAAGGAAAAGAGGAAGAAGAAGAGAAGAAAAGAAAGGAGAGAAGGAAAGGAAGGAGAAGAGAAGUAGAUGAUAUAAGUAAAAAGGUAAGAUUUAUAGUUUUAAGUGUAUAAUAUGUUAAAUUUCGGUUUUGAUUAAUUUUGAGAGUUUUGAAGUUUGUAUUUUGAGUUAAUUGAUGAAUUAAUUUGAAGGUUAGGAGUUGAUUAUUGUGGGUAUUUGAUUAAUUAGUUGAUUUUGAGAGAUUGAAUUGAAGGAUAAUGAUUUUGAGUUAUGAUUUUGUUUAAAUGGGGAAAUUGUGUUAGAAAUCAGGGGAUAACAGUAGGUAAUCUGUUUAAAUUCUGGGUUUGAGGUUGAAGAUGACGAAAAUUCAAUUUGGUCCCUCAAUUUGCGGAAAUUGCAGUUUAGUCCCCGAACUUUGGAAAUUUUACAGAUUGGUCCCUGGGACAUAAAUUGAGGUUCUGAAAAGAACUGAGGAUGAUUUAAGGGCAAAAUUCCAGUAUAAUUAAUAUUUUCAGUUUGGUCCUCCAAUUUGACAAAUUACGAUUUGACCCCUAAUAUUUUGAUAAAAUCACAUUUUGGACCUUGGGGCAUAAUUCAAGAUUCUGGACAAAGAUAAGGACGAAUUAUGGAUAAAUUUCAGUAUGGAUAUAUAUUUACAAUUCGGUCCUCAAAUUUUGGUAAAAUUACGUUUUGGUCCCUGUUUUGGAAAAUUGUCGUUUUAGUCCCUAAACCUAGGAGAUUAAGCCCGGUUUUAUUUUAUGCAUUGGGAUCUUUUGUUUGAUUUUUUUUUGAGUAUAUUUCAUAUAUUUAUUGUACGUUCUCCUAACGAUCCUUAAUCGGAUUUUCUGGUCUUUUGCCUGACAUUCCUUUAGUUUAGUAUUUUCCGGGUGAGUGGAAUAAUAUUUAAUAUGCAUAUAAUAUAAAUAAAUAUGUAUGUUGAUUAUACAAUGAGUACAACUAGUAAAUUUAUUGAAUAUUUAUAUAUGUUGCUUUAUUUUCCGAGUACUCAUUUAUUCUUGAAUUUGCACUCGCAAUCUGAUAAAGUAAAUUCUAUUUGAUAUGAUAUACGUUUCUUUGAUGAUUCUGUGAAUAUCUAUUAUGCCUUGAUAUGGGACUUGUCAGUAACUCCAUGCUAAUGGAGAAUAGUUAGCAUGUGUGCACAUAGUAUUCUGUAUACCUAGCUGGUGAGAGAGGCAUCAGCCUAUGGCGAUUGAUCAUCCCACAGUGGUCACCGACGGGUGUCAUCUGGUCACCGACGGGUGUCAUCUGGUCACCUACGGGUGUCAUAUGAUCUCUGACAUGUAAUCCACUACGUUAUGAUAAUAUGUUACGUUAUGAUAUUAUGUUUAGUAAGUAUAUGUAUAUGUAUAUCACUACAAGAUUUUACAGUUUUACCGACGGAAAUAUUCCGUCGGUGUGUGACAGAACAUUCGUCGGUAAAGUAUUUACCGACUAUAUUACCGACGGAAUACACCCGUCGGAAUACCUUUUGUCGAUGAUUCCACAUUCCGUCGCCAUAUCGGUCGAUAAUACAAAAAAAACAUUUACCGAUGGUUUUACCGACGGACUGUGCGCGCCAAAAAAAAAAAAAGUUUCCCGCUUGGAAUAUACCGACGGAAAAUAUUCCGUCGGUGUUAUGUAAAUACCGACGGACUAUCUCCGUCGGCAAAAGUGUCGGUGAUAUUUCGUACCGACCGAAUAAAUCCGUUUGUAAAUUUGUCGGUAUUUUUAUACCGACGGAUUAUCUCUGUCGGUGAAUAUGUCGGUGAUGGGAUGGAAUACCGCAGACACUGUCCAAUGCCGACGGAUUGUUUCCGUCGGUAAAUCCCUGUGUAAUUUUUUUUUUAAUUAUUUAAAAAAAAUAAUAUAAAUUAAUAGUAAUACAAACCAAUUAUGCAAAUAAAAUUUAUAUUAAGCAACAAAAACUCAAAGUUAAAUAAUAUUCAUUACAAAAUGAAUGUGUUUAAAAAAAAACAAUUAAUAUAAAGGAGGAGGAGGAGGGUGGGGGUUAGGCGGCCAAAAAGGAUUAGGCGCACAUGUUCCACCUUGUGUCAUGUUCAUGACCAUUUGACGAAGCUCUUCAUAGGCCGCUCUUUGUUGUUCAGACUCUGCUCUGCGUUGUUCGUCCGCCAAUUUGUGUUGUUCGUUCGCCAAUCUUUGCUCUUCUUUGAGUUGUGUGUACGCCUCUGAUAGAUGGUCGCACCUUUGCUGCAAGGCCACAAACUCCUUAGAUUGGGAGCUCGAUACAGAUUGGGAGCUCCCACCGGUUGAAGCAGUACCGGUCGACCGCAACUUGGCGGCGGUAGUGUUGGAGAGCCCGUAAACCCGAUUUUUAUCGGGUCCACCUGACGAUCCAGCCUCCAUCCACAAAUCCGGAUCGAAUUCCGGAUGGUUCGAAGGAUCGUCCCCGUAUCUCUCCCUCAACCGAUUAUUAUAGGUCUCCUGAAAAAAAACAAAACAAAUAAUCAUAUUCAAUUCAAUAAACAUGAUAAUAACUUAUAAAAUAAAAUGGUUGAACAAACACACCACAAACUGUUGAGCACGGUUGUCAACGAACUGUUGCGUCCCCUUUUGGCGGUCAUGACUCCGCACGUACGUCUCCACAAACAGCUCCAUAGGGCUCGGCUCACGUCCAAGAGACGUAGCCUAUAUAUAAUGAAAAAAAUGUAUUAACAACAAAUUAAUUGAACGAUAUAUUUCAUUUAAAUUAAUCUUACCAUCCAUUUCGCAUGUGCAGCAAACGGAGCCGUCGGUGUGCGUUGUAACCGAGCCAUGAAUUUGCCGAUUCCGGUUGUCGGCACCGGACUGUGAGCGUCGAGUGAACCGCUCAGACGUCACGUGCUGAAGAUAGUGCGGCCAUAUAUCUUCCGGGAUGUAUAUUGGUUUGAAAUCCCUCCAAACCGCAACAUCGUUCCAACCUUGUAACCCCUUAUCCCUCGCUGUUUUUUUUGCUUUUUUCUGGGCGUCAUACCAAAAAUCACGCAACCUAAUUCACGCACGAAAAAAUUACAUUUCGAAACAUAAAUAAUUAUGUAAAAAAAAGUCGUAUUGUUUUCGAUGUUACCUAAUUGCCGCGUGAUUUUCCCACACCCUCCUCACAACAGUGUCAUGUUCAUCAUCCCAGCAGAAUCGAUGUUGUAUAUAAAAAAAUAAUUUUUUAAAAUGUUAAUAAUUUAUUUACAAUUAUAACUUGAAUUUAUUAGAAAUAAGCUGAAAAUUAUAUAUUAACACGAACCUCAAAUCUACGAAACCAUGUAUUGAUUUGAGGCAUCCAUUCAGGAUGUCUGGAUAUAUGACUCCAUUGAAACAAUGGAAUCUCCAUCGACGCUUUAAACGCCGAUGAUAUUAAUCGGGCGACCUCAAUGUUUGUGAACCUGAAAAGAAAUGAAAUUAAUUUGUGAUUACUUCAUAAAUUAUGUUUUAAAUUUGUUUUUUUUUAUAUAAAAAAAACUAAAACCUUAACAAACUUACAUUGAAAGAUCGUCCUUCCACUGUGCCUCGAACUGGUGGGUAAAUUGAUUCCGCUUCGAAGGCAUGCCGCGUCUGCGAUGUGAAACAUCGCUGGAAGAGGCAGCAUCGGUUGACGGCCCAGGUGGUGUAGGUGCCUCUUCUUGAGAGGCACCUAAGGAAACAUCAUCAUCGCUGCUAGACGAACUUGAUUCGACUGGACGACCAGCUCUGGUUUUCAUUUUGCGCAUCUAAACAAUUUUAUAUUAAUAAUUGUAUAAUAAAAUUCAAAAGUUAAAAAAAAAUCGGCAGCACCUCCCCUAUACUGGAUACUACCCAAAUCCACAAACCUGCAAAUAUUAACAAUAGCCACAACCAAUCGAACCAAUCUAUAUGACAAAAAAUAUAUUCAAUAAUUAUAUUCAAAACAAUAAAAAAUAUGACAAAAAAUAAAUUCAAUAAAUUCAACAAAUUAUAAUUCAACAAAUUAAUCAUUUUAAUUCAACAUUAACAAUUAUAAUUCAACAAAUUAAUCAAUAAUUAUAUUCAAAACAAUAAAAAAUAUGACAAAAAAUAAAUUCAAUAAAUUCAACAAAUUAUAAUUCAACAAAUUAAUCAUUACAAUUCAACAUUAACAAUUAUAAUUCAACAAAUUAAUCAUUAUAAUUAUGACAACAAAACAAUAAAAAAUAUUCAAAAAAAAAAACCUACAUCAAUAAAAGGAACGAAAUAAACAUACCUUAAUAAUGUGACAAAUUCAAUCACCGAUGGAAUUAAUAUCCGUCGGUAAAAGGUAAAAAUUCCGUCGGUAACAGGUCAAAAAUCCGUCGGUAUUUUUUGAAUUUCGCCCCGAAUUUUUAAAAGCCCUCCAUAUUUUUCACAGUCCGUCGGUGAUUCCGUCGGUAAUCUGACAAGUUCAGAGGCGCAUUAAUUCACACACUUUGGAAAUCGCGCGGUCCGUCGGUAUUUCUGUCGGUAAUAUGUGUGACCGACAAAUUACCGACGGACCUAUUCUGUCGGUGAACCCGUCGGUGAUUGUGGCAUUUUGUUCUAAAUAUUUUCGAGCUUACUGUGAGAUGCCGACGGAAUGGUUGUCCGUCGGUAAUGUCGUCGGUGAGUGUGGCAUUUUAUUGUAAAUAUUUUAGAACUCUCUGUGAGAUACCGACGGAUGGUUGUCCGUCGGUAUUGACGUCGGUGAUUGUGGCAUUUUGUUGUAAAUAUUUUUGAACUCUCUGUGAUAUACCGACGGAUGGUUGUCCGUCGGUAUGGACGUCGGUGAUUGUGGCAUUUUGCAGGAAAGGUUGUCUUUGUAUUGCAUGUUUACCUUCCUGCAAUAACUUAACUGAUAAACUGUCUAUCACAUAAAACAAUAACCACAUUGCUUAAACAAUAAAUAUUUUGUUUUACAAAAUACAUCAUCAAUAAUCUAAAUUACAUGAGACAAAUGUUUUUACAUAGGGCUUCAUUUUCAUAAUUAGUCGGAAUUUUCUUCUUCUUCCUCGUCAAUUGAAUUGUCAUCAUCUUCAUCGCAAUCUUCAAUAUGGAUAUCAUCUUCUUCAUCGACAUUUGCUUGUUCGCUAGAGCUGAGAACAACAUUCAACUCCUCUCCGUCAAUAUCAACAAGACUAUCAUCGAGAACUCGAAAAUUUGAAUUUUCUUCCAAUUCAAUCGAAGGAGCAACUCGAUAUGGUUCAACCAACUCACGAACUUGAAAGACUUCAUCUCGCACACUUGUGUCUUCGUUCUCAUCCUGAACAACCUCGACACGACCCCGUGGUUUCGUUUUUAAAACGGACAACCAAUCAACUCUUGAACGAUCCUUUCUAAAUGAAGGGGUGUAUGUGUAAUAAAUUUGUUGACAUUGCUUUGCGAAAACAAAGACAUCAUUUAUGUUGCGGAGUCUAGCUUUUGAGUUGAUUUCGACCAGACCAUGGUGCAGAUCAACUUUGAUUCCUCAGUUCGUCGUGUCAUACCAAUAGCAUUUGAAUAAAAACACUUUAUUCUGCUCGCUAUGAUAUUGCAGUUCGACGACCUCUUCUAAUCUACCAUAGUAGUCAACUUCUAACUGGCUACUUGUGGAUCCCUUAACACAAACACCGCAGUUGUAUGUCUUUCUUCCUUGCCCGUAUUCUUCAGUAUGGAAAACAUAUCCAUUGACAAAAUACCCGUUGUAGCACUUAACUUUUCUUUCAGGGCCGAGGCUUAGUGAAGACAAUGACUUGGGCGCACUCCUUCCCAUUUGAUAAACCUUGUAAAUAUAUGUAAUUAAAUGUACAUCAAUACACGGUAAAUGAACGAGAAUCUCGUAAUGACAUGCAUACGUUAGAAUGAGUUUGUGAUAGUGCUUACAUGUGUUCUGAACCAUGUGGCAAAUUGUUCAUCUUGUAAUUGAAAGAUCUGGGAUUCGGUCAGCUGCGAGUUAUUGGAGAGCAAAUAUUGUCGAUGUUGCCUGCAAGUGAUAAUGAGUGUAUGAUAUUACAAUAUAUAAUUAACAGUAUAUUACUGACAAAGUUUAAUUAGUAUUACACAUAUAUAGACUUACUGAAUAAAUGGUCUCAGCUCAUCACAGUUAAAUAGAACAUAGUUGUGUGCUUGUUUGAAUUCUAUUUCCGACAAAUAUCUUCCUCUUACGGCAUUUUUAGGUGUGGGUCGUCCAGUAUUGGAGAAUAUUGACAAGUUCCCACUGGAAGGCACUUCACCGCCAUCGUCAUGCCGUGGAACGCGAUUGAUUCUUGUUCUCAGAUGAGGUUCGAAAUAGUACGAGAUAAAUGUUGAUAUCUCUUCAACAAUAUAGGCCUCAGAUAUCGAAGCCUCAACAUGCGCCUUGUUCUUAACCUUUUUUUUUAGAUUAAACAAGUACCUGCAUUGAAGUACAAUUCAAGUAUUUUCAAAUAAGAAAAACAUAGAAAAUACUUUAAGAUAUGAAUUCCAUUGCAACUGUAAUAUCUCACCGUUCGAAUGGGUACAUCCAUCUAUACUGGACCGGUCCUCCAGCUUUUGCCUCGAACGGUAGAUGUAUAGGGAGAUGCUCCAUUGAGUCAAAAAAUGAAGGAGGGAAUAUCAUCUCAAGUUUGCAUAGUGUCUCGAUGAUAUUCGUUUGAAGCAUCUCAAUGUGCUCAACAUUCAUCUUGCUGGAGCAUAUAUCUCUGAAGAAAUGACUGAUCUCCGUUAGUGCAUCCCAUAUUCCCUUUGGCAACAAAUCACGAAAAGCUAAUGGGAUGAGUGUUUGCAUAAACACGUGGCAGUCAUGGCUCUUCAUUCCAUACAAUCUGCAGUCCUCUAUGUUAACAAGCCUUGAUAUGUUCGAUGCAUGUCCAUCCGGGAAACGCAGACUCUUAAGCCAUUUGUAGACUAGCAGUUGUGCGUUUUUCUCUAACACGAAGCUUGCCCUUGGUUUUGCAACCCGUGACUCGUCAUAAACCAACUCCAUAUUUUUACGGUUACAGUAUAAAGCUAUAUCCAAUCUAGCCUUCAUGUUGUCCUUUGUCUUCCCCUUCACAUCCAUGACGGUGUUGAAAAUAUUCUCAAACACGUUCUUUUCGAUGUGCAUGACGUCAAGGUUAUGGCGGAGAAGAUUAGUCUUCCAAUACGGAAGCUCCCAAAAGAUACUUCGCUUUACCCAAUUAUGGGUCAAACCAAAACCAGGAAACUUUUGCUUACCUGAUUGAAGGCCAAACACAAUGUCACCGUACUCUGAUACAACAUGAUGCAAUUCUUCACCAGAAAGACGCGGGGAUGCAACAUCUUUUUCAACUCUACCAACAAAGAAAUCUUUUCUGUUCUUUCUGAACCUGUGAUUAAGUGGCAAGAAGCGACGGUGACAGUCAAAAAAAGAAGCUUUACCUCCGUUUGCUAGCGUGAAUGCCUUGUUGUUUUCCAUGCAGUAUGGACAUGCGAGUUUCCCAUGCGUGCUCCAACCAGAAAGCAUUCCAUAAGCUGGAAAAUCACUGAUAGUCCACAUCAAAGCCGCCCUCAUAAGGAAAUUUUGUUUCCUCGAUAUAUCAUAAGUCAGAGAUCCGGAGGACCACAACUGCGCCAGCUCAUCUAUCAACGGUCGAAGACAAACAUCUAUAUUCCGCCCCGGGCUGCUUGGACCGGGUAUGACAGUAGAUAGAAACAUGAACUCCGGCCUCAUACACAUUCCCGGUGGCAAGUUAUAAACUGUGAGAAUGACCGGCCAACAAGAAUAGGGAGCAGCAAAUGACCCAAAUGGGUUGAACCCGUCUGUACACAACCCAAGUCGAACAUUCCUUGAUUCAGCAGAAAAGUCAGGAUGAACACUGUUAAAGCGUUUCCACGCUUCGCCGUCAGAAGGAUGCACCAUCACACCAUCAACGACAUCGUGUGUUUGGUGCCAUGUCAUGUGCUCAGCAGUCCUUGGUGACAUAAAUAACCUCUGCAGUCUAGGUGUGAUCGGAAAUAUCUAAGUUUUUUAUGCCACUAGAGUCUUCCCCCUGCCAGUUCUGGGUUUGUAACGGGAAUGCCCGCAUGUCAUGCACUCGGUCAUCUCAGCAUUUUCAAGGUAGUAUAACAUGCAGAAGUUAGGGCACAUGUCAAUUUUCUGGUAUCCUAAACCGAGGGGUUUCAUCAUGGACUUCGCAGCAUAGAAGUUCUCUUUGAGCCUGUUCCCUUCUGGUAAAAUGCUUCUUGCCCAAUCAAUAAUUUUGUCAUACCCGGCCUCACUCAACCCGUGAUCUGACUUGAUGGUGAACACCUGUGCCACGCCGAUAAUUUACUGUGGUUUGUGCAGCCAUCCCAUAAUGGUUCGUCAGAAUCUUUCAACAAAUCAAAAAACCUAGCUGCCUCUGCAUUAGGUUCUUCUUCUACGAUUGGACAUUGAUUGACAUUAUCUUGAUUCAUUCUCAUUGCAUCCAUAACCAUGUUUCUGUAAGGAUUAGUGUUGUCAUUUGCCGCUUCAUGCACGUUGCUAGCACUAGAAGUUGACCCAACCACCGUUUCUCCCAUUCUCCUAUUACUAACAAAUACCUCUCCAUGUGCAUACCAACACUCGUAAUCCUCCACAAACUCUUUAUGUAGAAGAUGCAUCAUUACAACAUCUAGAUGCAGAUACUUUUUAUUUUGACACUUCCUGCAUGGACACCUAAUACCGCCUCCAGUAAAAUUUCUGGGAAUAGAUGUUGCGAAAUUAAUAAAACCCUGAACCCCGUUACAAUAAUCCAUCAUCUGCAAUCCUUGGGGUGAAUCUAGAUACAUCCAUGAACGAUCAUCCAUGACUUCUAUCGAACCUCUAUAAAAAGGACCCAUUAAUUAAGCAAGCUCUUAAUUAUUUCAAAACAUAACAUGUAAUUCGGUAAUUCUACAAAUUAAGUUUUAACAAUUUUCAAACAAAUACAAUCUUACAAAAUCUAAAACAAACCAUAACAAGUAUAAAAUUAUACAUUCAUAUACUACAAGUUUGUUUGAGAAAUAACAAUAAAACAUGUACAUCUACUAAAAAAUAAUAAUACAUAUACUAAAAAAAAAAUUUGACAUUUAAAUGUUAAAAUUUUAAAAGAUAGAAUUACUUACAAAAAAUGAUAAAAUCCGUCGGUAAAUCAGAACACGGAUGCUGUGACCACAAAACAAAUACAACUUGUUGUGCUGAGAUGAGGAAGAUUUUUGUUUUGGGGCGAGGGGGGUGGUUAUUUUGCAGAUGGGGAGGGUUAGGAUUAGGAAGAAGAAGGAGAAAUGGGGGAGGAGAGUGUCGGCAGAGUGGCCAUAUAUUCACUUUUGCUGACGGACUUACCGACGGUUUGGAUUCCGUCGGUGAAUCCGUCGGCAAAACCGUCGGUAAUUCUGACGGGCAAUCGACACGUCACCGCACGGACCUGCUAUUCAAAUCCCUCGGUGAUUCCGUCGGUAUUUUUAACGGUGCACCGGUCACGUCACCGGUACGGAUCUGGCAUUUCAAAUCCGUCGGUGAUUCCGUCGGUAUUUUUUGACGGUGAACAGGUCCCAUCACGCGUACGGGCCCCAGUUUUAAUUCCGUCGGUGAUUCCGAAAAUCACCCGCCAAAACCUCGCGCCACUGCCCGCCCUUUUUUCAUUAAUUCUGAAUUUUCGGUCGGUAAUUACCGACGGAUAGUCCGUCGUAAUUACCGACCGAAUUACCGACGAAAUAUUCCGUCGGUGAGUUCGACCGAAAAAUACCGACAGAAAAAAUUCUGUCGGUGAGUCCGUUGGUAUUUAGCGAAUUUCUGGUAGUGUAUGUAAAUCAAGAUAAAUCAUCUUGCAAAUAAUAUUAUUAAUAUCUGAAAUGUAUAUUAAAUGUUAUUCCCUCACUGAGUUGGUUGAACUCACCUCUCAUUUUUAAUAUUAUUUCAGGUUCUUAGUUUCUGGGACUUUGUUGAGUGUUUCCGCUUCUUCAGUUCUGGUCGGUAUGCCUUGCUUGUUCGCGAGGCUUUCCUUUUAGUUUUGAUUUGAUAUCUUAGACGCUCCACUGUUACCUUGGUUUAAUUAAAUUUGGAUUUUGACAAUGUAAUGAGUAUUAUGAAUUAUUAUUUUUGUUUUAAUAACUAUCUUUCGGUUUCAUCAGUAUUUGAAUAAUAUAAUAUUUCUGAAUAUUAUGAGCCGCUGCGUAUUUUUGAACAAAUUAUUCUUUUGAUAUGUCCGUUCUGAGGCUUAGCCUAGGUGAGGUGUCCUUUCGACACCACUCCUACGUUGCCGGUCACGAAUCCGGGAUUCGGGUCGUGACAAAUCACCUUAUGGAUACCCAGAUUUCCAGUGCCUGGAAAUGGUUUAAAAAGAUUUUGUUUUGAGGUAAUGCAAAUCACAUCUCUAGUUGUUACUGGAUUUAAUAAAGUUACUUUAUACAGUUGAAAUUACUCGCUGCUUUCCUCUUGAAUCAUUAAUCCUAAAUGAUUAAUCAUGGAUAGUUUAAUAUAUCAGUGAAACUAGAUCAUUGACCGAGCUCGUACAGGCUAUACUAAAAAUUUUAUAAACAAAAAAAUAUGUAAGGAUUGAUAAUGUAUUUUUUUGUCAAACCGAAAUGUAAAACCAAAGGGGAAAAAAAUAAAAAAAAUUUAUUCAUUUUUCUUCCUAUUACGUUGAGCACCCUUAAAGUAAUCUGCAAUUGUCAAAGAACCUGAAUACAUAAUAUGAUUUCAGAACUCGUAUCUGUGUCCCAUGAACCCAUGGUUAUAAAUUUCAACGUUAGCAAAAAUUAUAUUCAAUUAUUAUUUUUUAAAUAUAUAAGUUUGAUAGUGAUUUUAUAUUUUAUUCUACACUAGCACGCGGGUUUGGCAAGCGCCGGAAAAAUCAAGGUGGAAUGUUAAGCGUGCUCCUGUAAUUCGGUAAUAAUUUUAGUUAAGCUCUCUAAUUAUUUACUUGUAAUUACAGUAAUUUUGUUUUCCUAAUUACCUGCUCUCUUCUAGUGCUUCUGAUUGAAAUUGAGUUAGGAGUUGAAGACCCUUAAGUGCAUUGGAUUGCCCAUCUAGAAGUUGUUUCUGUUUAUCCAAAGACUUCCCAGCCAUGUUCUCAAUGUCAUCAGCUGUGUUUUGUAAAGUUUCCAUCUUUGAAGACAUUGUGUCUCCAACUCUGCCAAUCUGCUUCUCUAUUUCCACAGCUUCGUUUCUCACAUUGUCUACUUCUUGGCCCAGAUUGGUGUAAGCAUCAUGAAGCAUCGACAUCCCUUCCUUCAAAUUGUCAUUCAUUUUUGCUUGUCCCUCUUGCAGCUCUGAUUGAGAAUGUGCAAUUUCCUUGGAAUGCUUAUAAACAGCUUCAGAGUGCUUAGAUAAAACAUCCAUGUGAUCCUUUGCAUCUUUCGUUGUUUGAGCUACAUUUUCAACCUGAAUAUCAAUAGAACUCAAUGAAUCCUGAAUUUGAUUCGAUCUCUGCAACAGGACAUGUGUUUUUCCUCCAAUAAUUUCUAACUGUUCUUCCGUGUAUUCUGCUGAAUUUUUAAGAUCAUUCACCAGUCUCUCCAUUUUAUGGUUGAAGGCAUGGGCCCUGUAGGCAAUAGCACAUAAAAAAAUCCUUGUUAGUUUCUGUCACAUCGUAUAAAACAAGAGAAGAACGGUCAGAACAGUGAAAGAAACUAUACUUAACUGUCACUGAUAGCAGAUAGAAUUGGUUUCCAGUGAGAAUUCAAGAUAAACCUUGUGCUCAUUGUCAUUCAACCUUUUGAGACAAUUAACCAUGGCAGAUUUUGUGUCACAAUAAGGGAAAGCUGGCCGUCCAGAGUCCUUUUGAAAGCAAUCACUAAGGUGCCAAGCAAAUCUCCACCGCUUCUCCUCGACGGCGAGAAUCUGCGAGCAGCCGGCAAAGAGAUUCUGGUAAGCAUUCUGCCAACAAGAAUUCGUGCCAACCAUUUUACUUUCGGCUUUUUCGACCAGUUUCAUCCCCUUCCCAUCACUAAGACCAUUCAUAGAAAAUUCCACCACAGAACCACGGGGCAAACCGUUUGUCUGUGAAUUAUCAUGGAGAGAGUCUCUGUUGAAGAAGAGAACCAACCCCAUGAUUGACAUCUUAAUGUAAGUGAGAUUAAAAUUACGAGAAACAAAAUCUGACUAUAAGAACCCAUUAAUUAUAUCUUUUCUUCCUGAUUUUGUUACUCUACUUUCUGUAUCUUCCACCAGAAGACUGAAACCUGCAGUACACAGUAUAACAAAUUAGCAGAUGCUUCCAAUGCUAAAGGCAUAUACACAAGUCUUGUAUUUAUGUAUAAACAAAGAGGUGGAGAAACUUGGAGUGCAAGAAAAGGAAAAGGCACGAUUUUAGCAUGAAAAGGACUGUUUGAAAGUGAAAUUAAAAGUGUAGAAAAUAGAAAAGAGACAGAGACUUCCAAAGAUUAAAAAGAAAAGAAAAGAAAAGUAGAAAUGGUCAAAUAGUCUCUUAAAACAUUCUACGAUAUUCCAAUAAUCAAAGAUGAGAUAACUUCAAGAAUUCUAAGGAAAUCAAAACAGGACAUAGUGUCAUAUCUUCCCAUUAAAUUAGCAGCAUAUCAACUAUUUUAAGAAAAUUAAGUCAAAAUUAAGAAAAUUCUUUAAAAUCAUAACCGUUUCAAUUAACCGUUUCUUUGUUUUCUCUCUUUUUUCUAAUUUCCUUUUACAAUUAAUUACUUAUAUGAUGGAUUAACAAAUGGAAAGAAAGAAACCAUAAGUAGCAAAAAGGGAUCCCCUCUUUAUCUUCUAUCACUUGAUUUCUUUUCUUAACUUCUUCUCCAGCUACCCCUCCCUCCUUUUCUCAUAUACAAAGCUUCUGCUACCUUUUUUAUCCUUUAAAAAACCAAAAAGCGGGCCAUGUUCAUGUUUAAAGUUUUGAUACGAUUAUCCUUGGAGCCUUAACCUGAAUUAUACGUAAAAAACGAAGAAAUUAAAGAAAGUCCUUGAAUGAGAGAGAGAGAGAGAGAGAUGGUGAGAGCAUACAUACUUGUUUGUGAAUGCUCACCGGGUGGGGGUGGGGGUGGGGGUGGUAUUAAGAGGAUAUAUAUAUAUAUAUAAAGUGAAGUGAAGAGACAUGAUGCUUUGAUUAAUUUGGAAAAUUAAUGAUGUUUCGAAAAGUCACUUUCCAUGACCGACAUUAAUCUUUCCUUUCCAUGUUACACCAGGUUUUAUAUUUUUUCCUUUUACGUUUAAUUCGUUUUCAAAAUUAACCCAAGAUUUCAGAACGUUGCAAUAUUAAACCUCAACGUCACAAAUGAUCUACUGUAAUUUAAUUUUAAGGCCUGAUUAAAUACCCAAGUUAUUAAAACACACUUGUUCCCAGCAGAACACAAUGUUUAAGGGGGAGAGAGAUCAUCUUGCAUGCAUAAAAUCGAAGACGUGUACUGUAACAGAUAUAUUGUUGUGUUGCAAACAGAUUUCAAGGUUCUAUAUAAAUCCAAGAACUUUUUAUGCACCAACUGAUGAUAUAAUUAUAAGUUAGAGUAAUUAUUGAAACCCUCCCAUAAUUAUUGGAUUUUGUUCCUUAACUUCCACCUAACGGAUUCAUCAUUCUGCUACUUCCAAAUCCAUUCAAGAAAUCUCAAAAGUCCAUUUGAAAUGAACAAAGGAUGCAUUAACCGGUUGAGAUGAAAAUCUCUCAACUAGAAUGAAAAGAUCCUUAUACCUCCAAGGUCUGAUAUGCGGUUUAUUCCUACCACCUGUAUUACCAGAAUGGAAUGCGCUAGUUCUAAGAUGCAGAGUCUGUGUUCGAACAAUGAUUUAUGGAAGCACAGGUACGUGGAGGAGCUUGGAAAUGCGUCCGAAACACAAAGUUUUGGCAACUGGAAAACUAGAUCAAUUCUCUAGAUAUCGAUGUUUUCUGCUAGAUCUUAUGGCAGCAUGAAGUCCACUAAUUUUGUCUGUGAUUGUAACUAUUUGGAUUGUUAAUUUUUUUAAAAAAAGUUUAUGUUCAUAAAUCGCCGGUCUUGCAAAUUGAUAAACCUUUGUUCGAAUGAUAUCGUAGAUUAAAAGGCUUAAAGGAAAUCUUUGUUUGUGUUGCAUAUAUUAAGAGAGUUCUUGAUGCCGGACAAAGAGAGAUUUGAAGAGAAGGGGAGAAGGGAGAGAAAGAACGAAGAGGAGAAGAAGCUGGGAAGAAGAGGAGGAGAGGAGAGAAGGGAAGGGAAGAGGAGAAUUGAACACUACAUUUUUUCUUUAAUUCAUCUAUAAACUGAUAAAUCAAAUAAAGCCCAAUCAAAUAGGUUUAAAGCCGAAACAGAGGGGUGGAACGGGAGUGUCUAAUGAAAGAAAACUCUAUAAGGUCGCGUGGAAUACUCUUUCAAAUCCAAAACAGAUGGAUGGAACUGGUUUGGGUUCUCGCAGAAGGUUUCGGUCUUGGGGUGAUUGCUUUUCCAAAUUUGCACCAAUCAGUUCUGCAUCAGCUAGCAAUGAUUUCGAAAAUGGGAGCUUGACAAGCUUCAGAGUGGACCAGGGCUUUAUCCAUGAGAGAAAGAGGAUGAAACUCGUCCUCAAUCAAUGCUUUCAGCACCAUAUUUACACCAAGAUAGGGUGGUUAUACUGUGAAAUCUUGUAGCGCAGUUGUGGCUGGGUUUUUGCUUCCAUGUCAGACCAUGAACAUCCCCAAUGUAUGGAAACCUACCGCUCUCCCAAAGGUAGAAUUCUUCACUUGGCUGGCUGUUCUUGAUAGACUGAACACAAAGGUAGAAAAUGUAUGUUGCUGCUGUCAAACUGAGGAAGAAUCACUCCACCAUCUACUACAACACUGCCAGCAAGUUUGGAGGAUUUGGAAUCAUGCAUGUGUUCAGUUGGCGAGGAUCAACUUAUACCCUUCCUAAAUCAGCAAGUGGUUUGUUUCAGCAAUGAAGGUUCUUUGCAAGAGGUGGAAAACAAGGUAUUUCCCACAUGAUUUUCUCUCUUUCUUCAUUUUGAUAUUUCAAUUAUUAAAAUAAAGUAAUAAUAUUACUCACACAAUACCAUAAAAUUCAUCGGAAUUUAAAAUUUUUAAUUUAGAAAUUUUGGCCAUGCAUGGUCUACAACCGUGAAAGAGGUCCCAGAAAAACACGAGUCCAAAGCUACUUGGACUUCUCCAUAAAUCAAGUGGAAAAUUGAUAGAUCAGCAGGAAAACUAACGUAGCAUUUCGUUAAAAAUAAACUCUAUUUUCGGCUAUUCCUCAAACAGUGUUUUAAGAUUGUAAGGCUUCACGAUGUCAAGACUUCCACUCCACAUUAGCUUCGCAAAUUGAUUGUUGGCACUCUCAGUUGGAUGAGCCGGAUCAAAGAAGAAAUAUUCACUUGCAUUGUCGCAUAAUUGAUAUCCUUUCUGACCACAAGUAGGGAAGCUUCUGUAAGGACCACUGCCACAACAUGCCUCUUGAACCUCCUUGAAACCUUCAUAUAUAGAGAAAUCACAUUUAAAUUCAUAACAAGGACAGGAAAUCUAUAUAGGGACCUUGAUUUUAAUUAUUUAAUACUUAUAGACAGGCAUUACCAUAUUUUUAUUAAUUCUCUCCCUUCCUGCAACAUAGGCAUCAAAAAUUGAGUAUCUAAAUCCUUCUAGUUGUCCCUCAAGCUCUUUGAGUGCUUUAGGGAGUGCUCUGUUGUGUAGUUUUGCAAACAUUGUAGCUUCAUCCAAGCAACCUGACACCCCUGUUCUUUCCUGUUUAGCUGCUCUCAAGGAUGGUAGACAACCCAAAGCAAUCAACGUUGACAAUCCAAAUUUCCUUCCUCCUAUCUUGUAUAUUUCCUGGAACAGUACAAUUACGCAAUCAUAAUCCAAGAUCAACUUGGAAAGAAGAGAAAGAAUGGUUCUUUAGCAUGCUAAAUUACUUGGAUCACUGUUGUUAUAUUGCCAAUAACCAUCCCAACAUACUCUUCUCUUGAAUAUAAUUGAAGCAAACUGUGCGUUGGUGUUAGAGCUGCAAAGUAGUCAUUGCCUCCAAUGCUGAACAUGUAAACUGCUGUGGACAGCAAGUUUUUAGCUUCUGCUUCACCUAGUUGAAGCCUUAACUGCCUUUUCAUAUGCUUGAAAUAGCUUAGUUGAGUGCUAAGGUUUAUCACCUUCAAAGAAAAGGGGAAAAAAUGAAAAACCGAAAAAAAAAAAAAACAGUUAUGGAACAUAUCUAAGACAGUAAACUUUGUGUUCUUGACAUACCCAUCCAUGAUGAGUUUCAACAAGAGCACCAGCUCCAGAUGAUGCAAAGUUCACUCCAUUUAUAAAUCGAUGAUUACUGGAUUGUAGAUGUUGUUGUAUUUCAGAGCUUAUCACCUUGAAAACAAUCAUUGAAUCUCAUUAUUCCUUUAGAAGAUUUAAGAGAGAUCUCGAGUUUAAUUAAUUUAUAAAAAGACGAAAAGUGGUGGGGAUCAAUAACAUUGAAGACCCCACCAAGAAAAAACAACAUCAUGAUGACAGACAUACCAUUCCUUGGAGAUUUUCAGCGAGAACAAGAUCCCCUUUUGACUCAAAGUUUUCUCCAUCCAUAAAUUGAUGGUUACCAGGUUGUAGAUAUGGCGGAAUUAAAGGUAAAUUUGCAUAUUGAGCUGUCACAAAACAUUUCAUAAAAAUAAGAAAAGAAAGAACAAAAAAGAAUGAAUUAAAGUGCUCUUAACUGUAAUGAUCUUACCAAUAAAAUCUGGAAUUAAUCGACCAUCACAAGGCCUUCCUGUGGGAUGCUUGAAGAAGGUUCCAUACCAUACAGAAAUCUGAAAAGAUAGGAGCAUCUUCGAUGUACUUGUUGUUUCCAGCAUCAUAUAAUGAAUCUCCAAAGAUAAAUAAGGCAACAUGCUUAGAACCAUGGCAGCUUCUUGCAACCAGAAGGCUUGCACAAAACACCAAGAAACAAUUCUUAAUAUUGGACCUUGAAAUACUGUUAUAUAAUUGUAUAAGGAUUGAUAAUAUAUUUUUUAGUUAGAAAGAAAAAUUUAUUUGUAAAUUUAAAAUUUGAAGUAUAUAUUUAAUAAAAUAAAUUAAAAAUUAUAAGUGCUAAUAAAUAUAUAAAAAAUAAGUUGUCAAGGUGAAAACAAAUACAAAUUAAAAUAUUCGAUUUUACAUUAUAAAGAACCCUUCAAUUAUUUAUAUUUAAUUAUAUAACAGUAUUUUAAUUAUAAAAAUAAUAAUUUAAAUUUUGUUUAAACAAAAUAAUUUUCUAUUAUAUUUCCUUCUUUUAUUAAUACUUUUAAUUUCAGUAAAAAAAAUUAACUUUUUGUUGCUUGUCUUUCAUUUAAUAAAAAUUAAAAGAAAUUAGAAUACAUAUCCAUAGGAUUUUGGAUGAUUUAAAAUAAAAAAAAAAUAUCUCUCUAAUUAGAAUCUGUUUGCCUAGCUGACACGCUCAUUUAAAAAAAAAAAUCUUUAUCAGAAUAUUUAAUUUUUAGAUAUUAUUUUAUCAUUAUCUUAAAACAAGUUUGAAUGAUUAUAAAACACAUUUUGAUAACCUAGAAAAUAAUAAUUUAAUAAACAUCCUUAAAACUUAAAAAAAUAAUAAUUUAUUAGCCCAAAAAAACCUAAAACAAUUGUCCAAAAUAAAAAAAGUAAAAAUCAUGAAAAAAAGUUUUCUUUAUCUUUUGAGUAGUUUUUAAUAUCUUGAGCUCUACCUCACUUGUCUCUGAUGAUUGAUUAUUAUAAAAAAUUUCUAUAGCUCCCAAUUUCCAAGAUUAUAGUAUGAGGCGACAAGGCAAGUGGCUGUGUUUUUUCAAAAAUACAAUCAAAGGCAGUAAGACACGAUUAUGCUGAAAAAAUUCUUAUGGUAAGCUUUGGUUGGUUUAGAAAAAUAUGCUUGAUUCAUCACGUUUCUCCACCAAUAAAAGUGUUGGCAUGAAAACAAGUAGAAUUAAUGAGAUUGUGUAUAGAAAAAUAUAUAAAAUAUUUGCACAAUAAAAAAAAGAAUAGAAGAAAAAAUAUAUAAAAUAUACAUAAAAAUAAAAAAUAUAUCUAAAAAGAACCUAAGUAUUUUUUUGGCUGGGCUCGAAAUCAUACCCAACUGUCUAGAUCCGAUAGUUUUUAUUUUAGCUGAUAUGAUCAUUAUGAUUGUAAGAAAUUGUUCAAUAAGAGUUAUUAUCUUAUAUAAGAUUUAAAAAUUCAAAAUCUUUAUUUUAUAACUUCUAAGUUUUGAGUACAUUAUUAUUAUUAUUAUUAUUAAUAUAUGAAAUGAAUGACUAUUAAAGUUAUUAAUUAGAUGUUAGACUGGUGGCGGAAAUCGUAAUGGCGGCUAAUAUUUCAAGUCGGCUUGAAUAUUACUGCUCGACGGCUUAGCUAGGUAGAUAGCUCAAGCUCAACUCAAGCGGGUGAAAUAUGAUUGUUACAGAUUGUAACAGCUAAAUCCAGCUAGAGAGGAGUAGGAAUCCAGGAAAAAAACAAUCAACGGCUAGGAUUGGGUUGGGUAUUUGAGAAUGGGUCCGCUUCCUGUCCAGGAGAGAGGGGGGAAGAAGACUUGGUUGGUUUUCUUUCUCUCUCCACAAGGCAAGGAAAAAAAUGAAAUCAAGGUUGUCAAUUCUAUUUUGAUAUGUAUUUUAUUUAUUUAAUUGAAAUGAAAUAUUUUAGUUUUGAAGUAUUUUAAUAUAUUAUUUUGGAGUUGUACUGUUUAUAUAUAUAAUUCAAAUUAAUUAAUUAUAACAUAAUUCAAAUUUAAGAUAAAUUAAUUAUAAAUUAUGCAAUACAAACACAAUGCCAAACAAAUAUAAUUUCAAAAUUUAAAAUAUUUUUAAAUAGUCAAGAUUAAAUAAAUCUUUAACUUAAAGUAAUUCAACUUAAACAAAAUAUCAAAAUAUUAUGAAAGUAAAAUGUUUUAAUAAAAAUAUUUUAAAUAUAAAAUUAGGUUAAUGUUAUCAAGUGGUUAAUGGAAUCUAAAGCUUCCCUUGUUUUGCUCAAAUUCCUACAAAGUAUAAAUAUGAAAAAAAAAAUAACAUGAAUAUAAACCAUAUAUAUUAGUGAUAAAUCUAAUUUUAAAAAAUUAAUAUUAUUGUUAAUGAAAAUAGUAAUAAUAAUUUUCAAUAUUAUUAUUAAUAUCAUUGCUAUUGAAAAUAGUAAUGAAAAAGAGCUUUUUUAUAAUCAGGUGGUUUAAUUAAUGAAAUUAAGUAAGGUUCAAUUUGAUUCAAUGACUUUUUAAGAGUGGAACGAAACAUGUGGAAUGAAACUGGAACGUUUCGGGCGAAAUUUAGCUGAAAAAUCCAGAAUGGACCGAGAUUUAAAAUUAGAUGAAAUUUGUUCCGUUUUUUGAAUUAAUAUGGAAUGUUUCGGCCAUUCUGGACGAAACGGAACGGAAUUGACAACCUUUAAUGAAAUAAAAUGAUGGUGGUUUUCUGGGACCCGUGUAUCCCCUGAAAUUGAAAGACCAUACGACCACGUGUUGCCGGUAAGGUCACUUUCAAUAUUCAUCCCCAUCCUCAUCCUCAUCCCUAUGGUCUAAAUUAUAAAACUAAGUCCUUUUAGUUUUGAGAAAUGAAUUAAUUAGUUAUUUUUUAAAAAAAAUAAAUUAUUUAGUCCUUUUUGUUCAUUUAUGUUUUUUAUUUUUUAAAAAAUAAAAGAAAGGAAAUGAAUAAAUAAAUAUUAUAAAAAAGUAACCUGGUCAAUGAACUAGGUAAUUUAUUUUUUUAAAAAAAGAUUAAUUAAUUUAUCUUUUAAAAAUAGAGAAACUGUUUUUUACGAGAAUUCACAUUUUUUUAUAUCCAAUAUGUAUAUUUAUGCUCUAAAACAGACAUCGGUUAUGAGAAGAUUUGACAAAAAUACCGACAACAUUGACAAAAAAAAAAAAAACACUAAUUGAGAAUAUUUUGAAAUGUUUGGAACCUAAUUGAAAAAAUUCAUAGGUUUUAAAUGUAAUUGAGAAUGGAUAUACAAGUUGGAGAGUAACAUGAGGGUUUCCCUAUAAUAGCAUGUUUUAAAUUAUAUAUACUUAUAAUUUUUAAAUUUUAAUUUCAUCGUUUGAUUUUUGAACAAAUAAAAUAUGUAUAAUUGGACCAGGUCUAAAGAUUAGAUGGGAUCAAACCAAUAAGAAGCCUGAGAAAGUCCACGAAGAAAAACCAGCUAACAUUGCAAUGAGGACUUGUUUCAACAGUUAGAAUGACAAAAAACCCAGCUAACAUCGGCAAAUAUAGGUUCAAAUUACCAGUUUACAUACCUGACGUCCACUGUGCAUAAAAAUAUCUGUAUUUAAAAUGAUUUUUAUAUUUGAUCCUAUUAUUACAUACCUAACGUCCACUGUGCAUCAAAAAAUUACCUGGAACUAUUAAAAGAUGUUUUUAUUUAUAAUUUUUUAAAAUAUAAAAACAUGUUAGAGAAGUUGUGUAUAUACAUAUUAUUGCUGAAAAAAAUAUCUUUAUUUAAAAUGAUUUUUGUAUUUUAUCCUAUUAUUUUGUACCAUUAGAGAAGACAACACAAUAAAACUAUAUAGGUGAUGAGACAAAGGGAUAAAAUGGGGAUCCAAAAACAUUUUAAAUAUUUGUUAGUAAAUUAAAAACACCAGAAGCCAAUAAAUUAUAGUGUUGAUUAUAAAAAUAAAGGUAUUAAGUUAUAAUUUUGUUUAAAAUGCAAGGGAUAAAUUUACACCACAUCCAUUUAAUAAUUAUUAUUAACAUAUAUUGAAAGACCUUGAUAUUUCAUUAUAGCAAUAAACAGUGAAAUGUGAUAGCCUUAGUUUGGUCCUCAAGAUUUACUAAAAGAUCUUAGCAUUUUAUUAUUGCAAUGAACAUUAAAAUGCUUUGACCUUUUACAAUUUGAUCCUCGAGGUUUUUUAUUUUAUUUUUUGCAAUUUCAUCUUCUGACAUUAAAUUUAAUGGACAUUGAACUUUAUAGUUUAUUUUGAUUUAUUUUCUAUGAAGUUAUCUUAGUCUUAUAAUCUAAGUUUUAACAAGUUAAUACGAGUUUACUCGACUAUUUUUUUGUAUUUUUUUUUAAAUUUAACUUCAUCCUUCAGUAUUGAGUUGAUUGAGAAUUUGAUUUGAUUUUUUUUUAUUUGUUUUAUAUAGGGUUAUCAUGGUCUCGUGACCUGGAUCACAAGUUUUGCGAGUUAGCCAAUUUGAUUGGAAUUUUUUUAGGUCCUUUGUUCUUUUUAAUUGAAUUUUUUUUUCAAUUUCAUUAUUCAAAUUGAAAAUUUGAAUUCAGAAUUUUUUUUUAUUUCAAAGUUAUCCCGGUCUCAUGAUUGAGGUUUGAUAGGUUAACCGAGUUUGAAUCAAUAUUUUGUUUUUUUUUUAAUUGAUUUUUUUUUCAAAUUAAUCCUUCAACAUUGAGUUGAUUGGAAAUUGUGCUUUAUAAUUUAUUUUUAUUUAUUUUCUAUAGAUUAUCAUGGUUUCAUGACCCAAGUCGCAGGUUGCUUGAUUGCCUCGAGUUUUUUUUUCUUUUUUUUAAUUAUUUUUUUUCAAUUUCAUCCUUCAAUAUUGAGUUGAUUAAGCAUUAGAUUUCAUAAUUUAUUAAGCAUUAGAUUUCAUAAUUUAUUUUGGUUUGUUUACAUGAAGUUAUGACAACCUCAUGACUUAAGUCACAAGUUUGGUUGGUUAACUCAAGUGGUUUUUUCGUGCUCUUUUUUUAAUUGAUUUUUUUUUCAAUUUCAUCAUUUAAAAUUAGAUUGAUUGAGAAUUGAGCUUCAUAAUUUAUUUAAGUUUUUUUCUAUAUAGUUAUCUCAUUCUCAUAACUAAGAUAACCUAGGUUGACUCGACUUCUUUUUCUAAUUGAUUUUUUUUAAUUUUAUUAUUUAAUAUUGGAUUAAUUGAGAAAUGAGCUUAAUGAUUAUUUUUUAUUUACUUCUACAGGGUUAUCAAGGUUUUAUGAUAUGAGUUGGAGAUUUGAUAGGAUAACUUGAGUUGAUUCGAGUGAAUCCAAAUCGAUUUGAGUAAAUCUAAGUAGAUACAAUAUAUUAUUGUCUUACUAUUUUAAAAAUAAUAUCGUGCUGAAUUUUUUUUUGUCAAGUUACAUUUUUACCUGUUAUUUAAGUUGUUUUUAGAUCUAUAAAGUUGAUUAUAUCAUAUCAGGACAGUUUUUAUAUAAUUUAUUUAUUUAUUUUUGCUAGAAAAUAUAUUAAAUAAAUUACUUCAUCAACUUUGCCAAUAAAAACAUGAUAGGUUCGAAUCAUUUUCCAUUUAUAAUAGUGUUUAGAUAAGUGAAUGACCUCAUCAACUUUGCUAUUAAAAACAUAAUACGGGCAACCGUGUGAUUAUGGUUUGGAUCCAGGUCGGGACAAGUGCUGGAGUUCAUGAUCGUGACCACCUAGCAUCUUCGAAUAAUUCUCCUCUAUCACCCUUUUUUUUUUUAAUGCUUGUUUGGAAUAAGUUUUUGAGAUUAGUUGUGAUUAUGAUGUCAUUCUACUGUCAUUAAGAAUAAAUUAACUCUAACCGAGGAUUAAAACAGAUUUAUCAAAUACUUUUUGCACUGUGUCUAGCUAAUGGAGAAUAUAUUGAAAAGAAAAAUACCCUUGAGAAUUCACAGCCAAAAGCGUUAAUCACGUUUCUGUUUAAAACAGGAAAAGGCAUGCAAUAAUUGACAAAUGUUGCUUGAAAUCACAGCUAUCUUCCUUCUCUGAAACUUCAAUUGCUUUAUUAUACUUUUAUAGGCAUAGCCAAGUCAAGCCUGCACCGUGUGGAGCCUAAUCAAUAUAAUCAGAGACUGCUGUUUGCCUUUUCCAUUUUUCAUCUCAUACUGCUCUGUCUUCUCAAUAUUUACUUGCCAUUUCUUGCUCACCUCCCCUGCUUUUAGUUUUCCUUGCACCUUUUCUACCUCUUCUUUUCCAUUCCAAAACAAGCUAUGGCUGAUGCUAUUGUUUCUGCUCUCGCGAGUACAAUCGUGGGGAACUUAAAUUCCUUAUUUCUUCAAGAGCAUGGACUUGCUGGGGGCCUAGAGACUGAGCUUGAAAAUCUCAAGCGCACAUUCAGAACCAUUCAAGCUGUGCUGCAAGAUGCAGAGGAGAAGCAGUGGAAGAGUGAGCCUAUCAAGGUGUGGCUCAGCGACCUAAAGGAUGCUGCUUAUGUUGUUGAUGAUGUACUGGAUGAGUUUGUAAUUGGAGCUAAGUGGCUUCUGCAGCGAAGAGAUCUCAAAAAUCGAGUAAGAUCCUUCUUUUCUAGCAAACAUAAUCCAAUUGUUUUUCGACAAAGGAUGGCUCAUAAAUUGAAGAAUGUUAGAGAAAAACUAGAUGCCAUUGCCAAGGAGAGACAAAAUUUCCACCUAACAGAGGGGGCUGUGGAGAUGGAAGCAGAUAUUUUGUUCAGCGUCAGACUUGGUCUUCGGUGAAUGAAUCAGAAAUUUAUGGAAGAGGCGAGGAGAAAGAGGAACUAAUCAACAUGCUGCUCACUACUUCAGGUGAUCUCCCUAUUCAUGCUAUAAGGGGGAUGGGGGGGCUGGGUAAAACAACACUUGUUCAACUGGUCUUCAAUGAAGAAAGUGUUAAACAACAAUUCAGUUUGAGGAUCUGGGUGUGUGUAUCUACUGAUUUCGAUCUCAGAAGAUUAACAAGAGCCAUCAUAGAGUCCAUUGAUGGUUCCCCUUGUGGUCUUCAAGAAUUGGAUCCCUUGCAACAAUGCCUCCAACAAAAGUUAAAUGGAAAGAAGUUUUUGCUUGUAUUGGAUGAUGUGUGGGAUGAUUAUGGUGAUAGGUGGAAUAAAUUGAAGGAGGUAUUAAGGUGUGGAGCUAAAGGUAGUGCUGUCAUAGUAACUACGCGUAUUGAGAUGGUUGCUCUUAGAAUGGCAACAGCUUUUGUCAAGCACAUGGAGAGAUUGUCUGAAGAAGAUUCUUGGCGGUUGUUUCAACAGCUUGCAUUCGGGAUGAGAAGGAAAGAGGAGCGGGCACGUCUGGAAGCCAUUGGAGUAUCAAUAGUGAAGAAGUGUGGUGGUGUUCCUUUAGCUAUAAAGGCACUCGGGAACCUAAUGCGGUUAAAAGAAAGUGAAGAUCAGUGGAUAGCUGUCAAAGAAAGUGAGAUUUGGGAUCUAAGAGAAGAAGCAAGCAAGAUCUUACCUGCUUUGAGGUUGAGUUACACUAAUCUAUCACCACAUUUGAAGCAAUGCUUUGCGUAUUGCGCUAUAUUUCCAAAAGAUCACGUGAUGAGGAGGGAGGAGCUGGUUGCUUUGUGGAUGGCAAAUGGCUUUAUUUCUUGCAGAAGAGAAAUGGAUUUGCACGUCAUGGGCAUUGAGAUAUUCAAUGAACUAGUGGGAAGGUCAUUUCUGCAAGAGGUCGAGGAUGAUGGAUUUGGCAACAUAACAUGUAAAAUGCAUGAUCUUAUGCAUGAUCUUGCACAAUCCAUUGCAGUACAAGAAUGCUAUACGACAGAAGGCGAUGGGGAGUUGGAAAUUCCUAAAACUGCCCGUCAUGUUGCUUUUUAUAACAAAUCAGUAGCUUCGUCUUCUGAAGUUCUCAAGGUCCUAUCACUUCGCUCACUUCUUGUGAGGAAUGAACAGUAUGGGUAUGGAUGGGGAAAGAUUCCUGGUCGAAAACAUCGAGCCUUGAGUUUAAGAAAUAUCCGGGCCAAGAAAUUGCCGAAGUCAAUUUGUGAUUUGAAACAUCUAAGGUAUCUAGAUGUGUCAGGCUCGUUCAAAACACUGCCUGAAAGUACAACCUCUCUCCAAAACCUCCAGACACUAGAUCUGAGUUCUUGCAGCGAACUCAUCCAAUUACCAAAAGGUAUGAAGCACAUGAGAAAUCUUGUCUAUCUUGACAUAACGGGUUGUUAUUCACUUCGAUUUAUGCCUGCUGGAAUGGGGCAAUUGAUAUUCCUGCGAAAACUUACCCUGUUCAUUGUGGGUGGGGAGAAUGGUCGUCGCAUAAGUGAGCUGGAAGGGCUGAAUAAUCUUGCUGGUGAAUUGAGUAUCACAGAUCUUGUGAAUGUUAAGAAUUUAAAAGAUGCCACAAGUGCCAAUUUGAAGUUGAAGACAGCUCUUUUAUCACUGACUUUAUCUUGGCAUGGUAAUGGAGAUUACCUUUCUUACCCUUGGUUAAUUGUGCCACCGCAACAAAGAAAGAGUGUUAUUCAGGUAAAUAACGAGGAGGUCCUUGAAGGGCUUCAACCUCAUUCAAAUCUGAAGAAGUUGAGGAUAUGGGGAUAUGGAGGUUCAAGAUUUCCUAAUUGGAUGAUGAACUUGAACAUGACGCUACCAAAUCUGGUAGAGAUGGAGCUAUCAGCAUGUGACCACUGUGAACAACUUCCACCAUUGGGGAAACUGCAGUUCCUCAAGAGUCUUGUAUUGCGUGGAAUGGAUGGUGUGAAGAGUAUUGACAGCAAUGUGUAUGGAGAUGGGCACAAUCCAUUCCCAUCUUUGGAGACGCUGACUUUUAAGCACAUGGAGGGAUUAGAGCAAUGGGCUGCGUGUACUUUUCCUCGCCUUCGAGAAUUGGAGAUAGUCGGUUGCCCUGUGUUGAACGAAAUACCAAUUAUACCCUCCAUCAAAUCACUGCACAUCGAGGGAGUGAAUGCUUCGUUGCUGAUGUCAGUUAGGAAUCUCACUUCGAUCACUUCUCUUUAUAUUAGAGGGAUUGACGAUGUGAGGGAGCUUCCCGAUGGGAUUUUGCAAAAUCAUACCCUCCUUGAAAGCUUCCAUAUUAGUGAGAUGCGAGAUCUGGAGUCUUUGUCAAAUAGGGUAUUAGAUAACCUUUCUGCACUUCAAAAGUUGGAGAUAUGGGGUUGCGAGAAACUUGAAAGCUUGCCAGAGGAAGGUCUUCGUAACCUCAAUUCCUUGGAGGUUUUAGAGAUAUGUAGAUGUCCAAGAUUAAAUUGUCUGCCAAUGAAUGGGUUGUCUGGCUUAUCUUCUCUUCGGGAGUUACUUUUUCAACAUUGUGUUAAAUUAACAUCUCUCACUGAGGGAGUGCGGCAUCUGACGGCACUUGAGGAUUUGUUACUUAAUGGAUGUCCAGAGCUAAAUUCAUUGCCAGAGAGUAUCCAACUUCUCACUUCUCUCCAAUCUCUAAGAAUAUGGGACUGCGAGGGAUUAACUUCUUUGCCAAAUCAGAUUGGAUAUCUCACUUCUCUCCAAUCUCUACAUAUAUGGAACUGCAAGGGAUUAACUUCUUUGCCAAAUCAGAUUGGAUAUCUCACUUCUCUCCAAUCUCUACUCAUUGAGGGUUGUCCAAAUUUGAAGAAAAGGUGUGAGAAAGAUUUAGGCGAAGACUGGUCUAAGAUAGCUCACAUUCCUAAUAUUAGUAUAAAUUGAUAUGCAAAAUUGUUAAAAUAAUUUCUCAUUAACAUUGAAUGAGAAUAAAAUAUAUAUUUUCUUAGUUUUAAUUUGUUGUAAUUGUUUAAAUAACUUUAACAAAGAUUAAUUUCUUUGUAUCCUAAAUUGAAAAUGUUUGGAUUUGCGAGCUUUGUCAUUCAAGAUCGCUGUGCGCUUCACGUGGAAAUACACUCGCUCGAUUGCCUAUAGUUGACCCAGCCUUUUAUCCAUUAUAUUUUAUUUCGAUCAAAACGACCUUUUCAUGUAAAAUUUUCUAAACUUAAAAUACGCAUCGCUCGCACCAGAAAGUAUAUAGAGAGCAUCAAUACAAACAAACUGGAAAAUCGAAAUCUAAUCCAUCCAAAUAAUAAACUUAUUACAAAACAAUGGAGACGGCAAUUUGAGUAACAAUUCAAGACUGUAAUUUAACAAAAAGCUUCAUGAUGCUUUAUGAAAUGAAAAUUGUUUACACAAAACAAUAAAGAAUGAGCUCAUAAGCAUGGUCUUUUAGUCUGUAUGAAGACGUAAUUUUACUUAAUUAAUUGAAACUAAUAAUAUUAAACAAGAGGAGCUAAUUGAUUGAGUCUUGGAUCGAGACGUAAUGUUACUUAAUUCUGAAUCAAUUGGUUAUAUGUACUUAAUUUGCUUGUUUGUAUCACUAAUUACUACUGCCUCCCGGCGUAAAUCUCAAGGGAAGUGGAAUUAACAAAGAUUAAUAUCAUAAUCUAAACUUCAUUUCUUGCAAGCAAUAUAAUAAAACUAUACCCAAGUCUCAGGUUUAAUUUAGUUUCCCUUUGAUUUUCAGCUCCACAACCAUUAUCUUUUAGAUAGCCAAAGGUCAUUUUCCAGGCUAAAAGACCACUAAAACUCGCAACGUCCACUGCCAAAACAGAAAUAUCCCAUGAUUUUCCUCAAGGCCUUUUCAAGGUAUACAAAGAUGGCCGCAUAGAGAGAUAUUGGAACAUUGACUUCGUUUCAGGAGGCGUCGACACAGAAACAGGGGUCCAUUCCAAAGAUGUUGUGAUCUCACCAGUGACCAACGUCAAGGCUCGUAUUUUCCUCCCAAAAAUCGACGGCCCAGCUAAAAAGCUCCCUCUCCUCGUCCACUAUCAUGGUGGUGGCUUUUGCAGAGGCUCACCAUUUACUUCUGCCUUGAAGAAUUUUCUUUCAACCCUAGCCACCCAAGCCGAUGUCACCGCUAUAUUGACUACAGGUUAGCACCUGAACACCAAUUACCGAUUGCAUACGAUGAUUCAUGGGCAGGGCUUAAGUGGAUCGUGAAGCACUCUAAUGGUAAUGGACCCGAACCAUGGAUUAAUGAAUAUGCGGAUCUCGGGCGGGUUAUUUUAGCCGGCGAGAGUGCUGGAGGCACCAUAGCCCAUUAUGUGGCUGUCCAAGCUGGGGCUGCGGGAUUGGCUGCCGUGGCUAUAGAAAGGUUACUAAUAGUGCACCCAUAUUUUUGGGCUAAGGAGCCAGACAAGUUCUACCAAUAAAUAUGUCCAACAAGUUCUGGGGCAGAUGAUCCAAAAUUGAACCCGGCAGUGGAUCCGAAUUUGUCGAAAUUUAAGUGUGAUAAAGUGUUAGUUUGUGUGGCAGAAAAAGGAUAAGCAUAGAGGCAGAGGUAUGGCUUAUUAUAAGCUAUGAGCGAGUGUGGAUGGGGUGGUACUGUGAAUUUUUAUGAAACUGAAGGGGAGGACCAUUGCUUUUAUUUGCUGAAUCCCAAGAGCGAGAAUAUCGAGCCCCUGGUGAAAAAAAUUGUUGAUUUCAUACGGCUGGAUUGAUUUUUUGAGUUUUAUUAAGUGGGAAUCAACAACUUAAUUUUCAGCAAUGGUGAGAGCAGAAAAAUAAUGGUUGAAUUUAAGUUUGUUUGGAUUGUAUUUUGUUUUUUAAUUUUUUAAUAUAUGUACUUUCAAAUGCCAUAUAAAAUGUGCCAUUAUGUUUAUUGCAUUCUUUUGGGCCAUUUUGGCUUGGCAGCACUUUUGUUUUUUAAAUAUUGGUGAAAUAAUACAAAAAAAAAUAAAAAAUAGUGAAAUAAUACAAUUUAUACAUGUCAAUGAAUGGAAAAUGCAAUAUAACUCAGUUUAUGCAGGUCGUGAUUGAAAAAUACUAUACUUAUAACUUGUUGCUAUUAGAAUAACAACUUCUAUAAAAACAUUUAUGAAAAAAACAAGAAACAUAAGAGAGAAAGGAAUCUAAAAAGGAAAGGAUAACUCUUAAAAAGAAUGCCAUCAACAAUAAUCCAAGUGAGUUACAUUUGUUUCUACAGAUGACGAAUAACUUACUUGCUUUUGGUGCUAAUUGUAAUUGUGAUUCACUAGGAUUGUUGUCGUUGAUCUUAUUUGUUGUUAUUGUAUUUAUCCCGUCAAAAUCUUUUUGUUGUUGUAGAAGUCAUUAUUCUGAAUAGCAACAAGCUAUAAAUAUCGUGUUUUUCUAAUUGCGACAUGUACAAACUAUGAUAUUGCACUAAUUAUUUUUAAUUAUAUGUUAUUCUACUAAUAUUCUUCAUUUAAUGUGCUAUUUUUUUUAAUCAUUCUUUCGCUUCCCUUAUUUCUUCAUUCUAGGUGCAAACAAAGUAAAAUAUCAUAAAGUAAAUAUUUCAUGUUUAUAUUUAGUCAACUAAUUUGGUUUAAUUAAAAAAAUACCUUUUUAAAAGCCAACUUUAAUAAAGAACAACAAUAAAAAAAAACCCUAAAAUAACCCAAGUUAUUUUCCAAAUUAAUGAGAAAUCUUGUAGAAAACAAAUAAAAAUAUAAUGGAGUUCAAUAUUUAAUUAAAUAAAUACUAAAAGAUAAAAUUAAAAAAAACACAAGUUUAAAAAAAAGAAAAAAAAAAGAGUAAGCAAACUUAGAAAUAUUUUCUAAACCUGAAUUAAUAUUUCAAAUUCAGAAAUCAUAAAAUUCUAGACUCCAACUUAAUAUAAAAACUCAAUCUCUAAUUAAUUUAAUAUUAAAUAAUGUAAUAAAUUUUCUCGAAUGGGAUUAAUCUUACCAUUUAAAAAAAGUGUGAUGAUACUCGGGUAAGAAAAAAAAAUGUUAGAAAAACUUGAAAUUUUGACGUUUGAAUAUAUAUUCAAUUUUGACGUCUUCAAGAUCUUGGACUUGCUGGGGGCCUAAGGACCGAGCUUGAAAAUCUCAAGCGCACGUUCAGAACCAUUCAAGCUGUGCUGCAAGAUGCAGAGGAGAAGCAGUGGAAGAGUGAGCCUAUCAAGGUGUGGCUCAGCGACCUCAAGGAUGCAGCUUAUGUUGUUGACGAUGUACUGGAUGAGUUUGCAAUUGAAGCUCAGUGGCUUCUGCAGCGAAGAGAUCUCAAAAAUCGAGUAAGAUCCUUCUUUUCUUUUGGUCAUAAGCCACUAGUUUUUCGAUUGAAAAUGGGGCUUAAAUUGAAAAAUGUGAGAGAAAAACUGGAUGCCAUUGCCAAUGAGAAAAACAAGUUCAAUUUAACACCACGAGUUGGGGACACAGCAGCUGAUACCUACGAUUGGCGGCUUACCAGCUCACUCGUGAAUGAAUCAGAAAUUUAUGGAAGAGGCAAGGAGAAAGAAGAACUAGUUAACAUCCUGCUCGCAAAUUCAGACAACCUCCCUAUUUAUGCUAUAUGGGGAAUGGGGGGACUCGGGAAAACAACACUUUCUCAAAUGGUCUACAAUGAAGAAAGGGUUAAACAACAUUUCAGUUUGAGGAUCUGGGUGUGUGUAUCUACUGAUUUCGAUGUAAGAAGAUUAACAAGAGCCAUCAUAGAGUCCAUUGAUGGUGCUUCAUGUGAUAUUCAAGAAUUGGAUCCCUUGCAACAACGCCUCCAACAAAAGUUAACUGGAAAAAGGUUUUUGCUUGUAUUAGAUGAUGUGUGGGAUGAUUAUGAUGAUAGGUGGAAUAAAUUGAAAGAGGUAUUAAGGUCCGGAGCUAAAGGUAGUGCUGUGUUGGUAACUACGCGUAUUGAGAUGGUUGCUCGUAGAAUGGCAACAGCUUUUGUCCAGCACAUGGGGAGAUUGUCUGAAGAAGAUUCUUGGCAUUUGUUUCAACGGCUUGCAUUUUGGAUGAGAAGGAAAGAGGAGUGGGCACACCUGGAAGCCAUUGGAGUAUCAAUAGUGAAGAAGUGUGGUGGUGUUCCUUUAGCUAUAAAGGCACUCGGGAACCUAAUGCGGCUAAAAGAUAAUGAAGAUCAGUGGAUAGCUGUCAAAGAAAGUGAGAUUUGGGAUCUAAGAGAAGAAGCAAGCAAGAUCUUACCUGCUUUGAGGUUGAGUUACACUAAUCUAUCACCACAUUUGAAGCAAUGCUUUGCGUAUUGCGCUAUAUUUCCAAAAGAUCACGUGAUGAGGAGGGAGGAGCUGGUUGCUUUGUGGAUGGCAAAUGGCUUUAUUUCUUGCAGAAAAGAAAUGGAUUUGCAUGUCAUGGGUAUUGAGAUAUUCAAUGAACUAGUGGGAAGGUCAUUUCUGCUAGAGGU